UUUUCUUCUUCUUCUUGUCUAAAUAUUUUUGUUAAAUUUUCUCUUAGCGUGUGUUUUUUGUUUUGUUUUAUUUCAUCUUUAAGUUUUAAUUUUUAGUUUAGGCAGUUAUUGAUUUUAUUUUAGUUAGCUAUUUAAAUUCUUGUUUAUUUUUGAAUUUUUGGAAGAAAAAAAUAUAAAAUAUAAAUUUUCGGUUACUAUUUGUGAAUUUUUCUUGCUAACCCUUGCAUUAGCUACUUUUAUAUGAUACUAAGAGGUUAAGUUCCAAAAGACCACUUGCUAUUUGAAGCAGAAAUUGAGAAGGUGGCAAAAGAGAAUCAAGAAGAUAAUAGAGAGGACUCUUCAACAUCUUCUUUUUCCAUUGAUAUUUUUCAGGAGAAUAACAACAUGGCGGGAAAGGAAACACCACCUCCUAGGAGAACUCUUGGAGAUUACGCCAUACAUCAAGGGCCCAGACACUUUUCUAGCAUUGUAGUGCCUGCAUCUACCAGGGUCUUAAAGAUGAAGUAUGCGUUCCUUACCCUCAUUAGUAUCAAUCAAUUAAUGACAAUGGAUAAUGAGGAUCCUCAUACACACUUGGCUAUUUUUUAUGAAUUGGUGGGAACUAUGGGUUUCUAGUCAGGUGAUCUUGAGAGUGUAUACAUGCGUUUAUUUCCUUUUUCUUUGGCAAGGAAAGCAAAUGAGUGGCAUCCUAAUCAGAGUUUAACCAGAUGGAAGGAUGUGGAGGAAAUUUUUUUGCAAAGAUUUUUCCCAAUCUCUCGUUACAUUAAAGCUAAGUCUAAAAUAUAUAUGUUGAGACAAGGAGCGGAGGAGUCUUUCUGUGAGACAUGGGAGAGAUUCAAGAGGAUGCUAAGAAAAUGUCCAAAUCAUGGGUUUGAAGACAUUGCUCAACUGAGCAUAUUUAUCAAUGAUCUCAGAUCUGAUACAAAAAUGCUCCUAGAUGCCGAUGCAGAUCAAGCAACAAGGAUUAUUGAAGCUUUGGCCACAACUAAUUAUCAAGCUCAACAUGAUAGACAAGGUCAUCAAAAGAGAGGAAUAUUGGAGUUUAAUACUGCAAAUGCAUUGCUCGCAAAAUAAAAUUCUGACAUAGCAGCUUGAGCAACUGAUCGCAUGGCCAAACUACCCCAGAAGUUGCAUGUUGUUCGAUCAUCCCAAAGUCAGAAUAUACCUAUCAGGUAUGAUUUUUGUGGAGGUGAUCAUCCUAAUGGUCACUGUUCUUAUCAGAUCAACUCACCUGAAGCUUAGGUAAAUUAUAUGGGAAAUCAAGGAAGGCAAGGCGGUUUUUCCAACAAUUAUUAUCAAGGUCGGAAAAAAAAUAAAAAUCAGAACUUUGGGUGGAAACAAGACUAUAAUUCAUCCAACAAGCAAGGGUCUUUCCAACAACCGCAUCAAUCCAAUUAUCCAUCCAUCCCCGACAGAAUGAGUAAAGUUGAAAAUGUUUAGUCAAAGAUUGUGAGCUCACAAGAAAAUAGCAUGGCCACGAUUAGGUGUAUGCAGACCCAGAUAGGACAGAUAGCCAAACAAAUGGCACAAAUUGCACAAAUUGUAGACGAAAAAAUUGGCCAAUUCUCAGCCAACACUUCAUCCAACCCUAAGGAGCAUUUUAAUAAAAUCACUACUGAGGGUGAUAAAAAAAUAAGAGAGUAAGAUGAUGAGAUGGUAAAAUUUGAGGAAGAAAAUGGAGAACAUAGAAAAGAGGGAGAAAAAUGUGAAGUUGUAGAGAGCAGAGUUUCAAAAGAAUUAUCUCAUUCUCCUAUGCAUGUAAAAAAAGAAAAGAAAUGAUUAUUUUAUGAUUUGCUUCCAAAAAAUUAUUUUGCAGGAUGGUUGGAGAAAAAUACAUUCUUUGAUUGAAUUAGAAGAAUAAUAUGUUGUUUUGAGGACAAAGAUAUAGAGCCGAAAGCUGGAAGCAGUUUUUUUGAAGCUAAAUGACUUGCCAAAGAAAUUCAGGGAUCCGGAGAGUUUCAAUAUUUUUGUGUCAAUUGGUGAUGUAUUUGUGGGUAAUGCCUUAUUGGAUUUGGGGUCAAGUAUAAAUUUGAUGCCACUAACCAUGUUAAGACAGAUAGGUGACUUGGAGGUUAAACCCACCAAGAUGUAGUUACAGUUGGCGGACAGGACGAUGAAGCACCCUUAUGGUGUAGUUGAAGAUGUCCUCAUGAAAGUAGACAAAUUCAUAUUUCUGAUGGAUUUUGUUAUCUUGGACAUGAAAGAAGAUGAGGAGGUCCCUUUGAUUCUCGGCAAACCUUUCAUGAAGACUGCUAAAGUCAUAGUGGAUGAAGAUAAAUGAGAACUUAGAGUAAGGUCUCAUGAUGAAGAGGUAAGAUUUAAUCUUUUUAAUGAUGUAACUAAUUGUAUUGCAAAUAAGAAUGGAGGGCAAGAGGAAAUUUCAAAAGAUGGUGACCAAAUAGAGGGCUCAAAGCCAAAGGAGAAAGUUACACGAUAUGAAAAGUUAAAGGCAAAAGGACACCAGAACAAUCAAGGGAAGCCAGUUGAGGAAGAGGAAUAUUGGUUAGGACAACCUAUUAUGCUUAACGCGGGUAGGGGGAAAGGAAUGAAGAAGACGAAGAAAUUUUAGGUCAUCGAGGAAUUAAAGAUGGACGGAAAAAUUGAAGUGGGAGAGUCGUAUUCAAGGAAAACGAAAGUGAUAACAAGAGCACUGGCCAAGCAGAAUAAUUUUCCCCCUUGAGAAAAACUUUUGUCAAGCUAUAUAACGUUAAAAGGGUGCUCACUGGGAGGCAACUUAAUCCACAUUUUAGUUUUAUGUUGUUUUGUUACCUUUGUUGAUUUUAUUUUUUCAAAAAUAUAAAUAAAUAAUUAAAAAUUAAAAUAAUAAUAAUAAUAAAAUAAAAAAUCUUAUAUGCCUCCUAAUAAUUUUGCAGGUUAUGUAUUUUGACCUAGGAACAGAUCCUAUUAUUCAAGGGGGCAGAUCUAGCAAAUGAAGCAAGACUGUAGAUAAAGAUUUUAACAAAAAGUUGGAUGACUUCUAAAGAAGAGAUGAUUGAGCAAAAAUAUGGUUUUAUCUUUUUAUUUCUCUUUUCUUUUCAAUUAUUUGAAUUUUUUUUUUCUGUUUAGUAUUUAUUUUAUUUUAUUUUUCAGUUAUUUUGUUUUAUGUUUAUUUUGCUUAUUUGUUUAGUUUGUUUUAAUUGCUUAUUUUGUAUUUUAAAUAAAUUUUCUGUUUUGGUAGUUUGUUAGUUUCAGGUCUUGAAUUAUUUUGAAUAAAUUUCAGUUUUAAUUUAAUUUGUUUUCUAGUUUUAUUUUUCUCAAAUAAAAAAAAGAACUACAAUAUUAAAUUUGAAUUUUGAAAAAGGAAUUUGUGUUUAAUUAUUAGAUAGUGGGAUGAAUUAGACACAAGUUAGAAAAGAAGAUAUGAUUGAAUCCCUAUUCAAAUGUAGUUGAAAUUAUAACAAGAUGAUUUAUUAGGACAGAGAAUGACAAGACAAAAAUGAAUGAGACCAAUCAAACCAAGUGAGUGUGUGAACCUUAAACAGUUUUGAGGGUUUUACUGAUGAAUUGACAGUUAUGGUUGCUUAAUUUUUAUUUUUGUUACAUCAUAAAAGAACAUGAAGAUGAUUCAAGCAUUUGUUUGUGUUAAUUAGGAACGCAGGGCCAAAUAGCCAACCUUUAUCUUAUUAGAAUCCCAUUUUUUUUUAUAUCCCCUUUGAGCCAAGAUUUUUUUUGUUAAUAUUGCACCUUACCCUUUAAUGAUAUAUCCUACCCUUUAGCAUGUUUGAGGAAGGAGAACAUAAAUGCAAUCAAUGUUAUCAAGCUCUAGGGUUAACUCGUAAACCCUUACGAGUUUAAGGGUUUGCUAAAGGGUCACGAGUCGACUCGAGAGUAAACUCGGUUUUGAGUAAACCUGGUGUAGACUCGGUCAGACUCGGUGAACUUGCGAGUUUGAGACUGAGUCACCGAGUUCUGAAAAAAAGAAGCCCAAAAUGGUGUUUCCUCGUUGUCAUUGUCACGCUGCUCGCGCAUCACCGCACCACGUUGUUCGCCGCCGUGCCUCGCGACGCCAUCGCACCUCGCCACACCUCACGAUGCCACCGCAUCUCUUCACACCCUGUGACGCCACCUAGCCACGCCGCUGCGCUUCGCGACGCCACCUCGCAUCAUAGGUAAUGCAACUGUUGUGGGUUUCAUGAUGUGGGGCAUUAGUUUUAGGGUUUAGGGUUCAACCAACCGAUCUCCCCUACCGCAACCGAACGUGCUAUGGAGGUCACCAUGUCACCCUUGGCGGUGUUGGGGAGUGACAUGCAAUUUGCACGAGGAGUGAAGGUUGCGCUGCCCGGGCCGACCCGGGAGGUCAUUCAAGCCAUUUCGAAGGUGAAUUUGCUGAAGGGUAGAGUGGAGAUGUUGUGUUGCGCCCUUGUCAUGGUUCAGUUGGGGUCUCAGGACCGAGAAAGCCAUACCGAGGAGAUAUCCCGGUUGGAGCUGUCCGAGCCUUCGGCCAGCUUAAAGCAAUCUCUUGCUGUCAACUCUGAGUAUGUGGAGAAGCUUGCUCGGGACGUUGCCGAGAAGGAGAAGGUUCAACAAGAGGCGGUUGAGGCUGAGCACCAGCGGCGGAAAUGGCGGCUGAGGUGGCUCGGUUGAAGAAGGUGGUGGUGGAAGGUGAAGGCAAGAUCUCGGUGCUAAAUGUCGAGGUCACUCGAUUGGAGGCUAUUAAGGAGGAGGUCGAGACGGAGCUGGAAAGCAACUUCGACCGGACCUUGGAGCUGCUCAAGCAGAGCUUCCUUUAGGCCGUCCGACAGGCCCAUGUGUUGUAUGGGGGCCGUCGAUGUAUGACAGCUCAAUCCUGAGAACGAGGUGUUCGAGGGUCAGAUCAUGCCGAGGGACGAGGCGAGGGCAUUGGCGGUCGCGACGAAGGAGCAGCCUGCACCGACGGGGGGAGCUGAAGGUGAUUACCAGUAGACUUAGGUUUUUAGUUGUUGUUCCCUUCGGUCGGGGUGUGGCUCUUUUGUACUUCUUCCUCCGAGGCCGGGGUGUGGCCUUCUCCCCAUCUUUUUAUUAAUGAAUCAGUCGUUUUCUUUGCAUAUUGUGAAUGGUCGAUCAGAUAAUUAAUUGAUUAAAGCGAAUUUAACAAGUUAAGUUAACGGUCAGUAACUUAUCUGAACAAUAGAUAAUUGAAUAAGUUAAAUAGGCGGUCAACCUUUGCUCGAAUCCUUUUAAGGUUUAGGCUUGGUUUUGAUGCAACCAAGGUUGUGAGGUGUUGGCAGGGUAUGCCGAUUAAGGCUUCAUCCGGACUGAACUGAGUGUGCAAGGUGUUGGAAGGGUAUGCCUAUUAAGGCUUCUUUCAGACCAAACCAAGUAGUGAGGUGUCGGUAGAGUAUGCCGAUUAAGGUUUCAUCCAGACUGAACCGAGUGUGCAAGGUGUUGGCUGGGUAUGCUUGUUAAGGCUUCAUCAAGACCAAACCAAGUUGUGAGGUGUCGGCAGAGUAUGUCGAUUAAGGCUAUAUCCAGACCGAACUAAUACUUGAGAUGUGCAAACUCAAAUUAUUAAUGAAGAGAACCGCCUCGUUAAAACCUUAAUGACCGAGAACCCUUCUUAGGGAAAAACGGUUGGGUCAGGAAAGAGUGUGUAAACUUUAUUAAUUUAACUGUAGUAGAAUUUGAGGUGUGUGGCAUUCCACGUCCUCCGUACAAUUUUACCCGAUAGCCACUCUAAAUGGUAUGCCCCCGCAGUUGCAACUUCUCGGAUUCUGAAGGGUCCUUCCCAAUUGGAUGAGAAUUUGCCUUCGUUUCUUCUUGCGUCGCUUCUUAUUCUCCAGACGAGAUCUCCUAUCUGGAAGCUCCUCAAUCGGACUUUGGUGUUGUAGCGUCUUGCCAUCCGAAGUUUGCAUGCUGCCUCUCAGAUCUUGCUUUUGUCGUGGAGCUCGUUGACAAAAUCAAGCUUGACCGACAGGCUUUCCUCAUUGAGGGUUAGGUCGAACAUCGUUCUUCGGAAGGUAGGCUCACCUACCUCGACCGAGAUCAUUGUUUCAAUCUCGUACGUCAGGCUGUAUGGUGUUUCUUGUGUGGUUGUCUAGGGGGGGUGCAUCGGUACGCCCAUAGGACUUCUAUCAAUUCUUCAUUCCAUCGACCCUUUGCCUUGUCGAGCUGCUUCUUCAGUUCAUUUAGGAUGACCUUGUUAGUAGCCUCAACCUGCCCGUUAGUUUUCGGGUGCUCGACCGAGGCUGAUGCUCGACGUACUGGACGGUAGGGGUCAUCCAAUUGUCGGUAUCAGUAUCGGUGAUCGCUAGGAAUUCAGUCUUUGAUACGCUAGGGUGCCUUAGCCAUAUAUGCAUGGCUGAUCUCUGGUGGUUCUUCUUCUUGGUUACCGAUAGUCGAGAUAGGACAUCGGCCUGCUUGUUCUCUUGCCUUGGGAUGUGUUCCACCGGUGCUUUCUCGAAACAGAAAAUGUUGUUACCAGCGGCGUGGUAGUACUGUUGUAGCAGAGGUUCUUUAACCUCGAAAUCUCCCUUGAUUUGGCCGACCAUAACUUGGGAGUCACUUUUGCAUGUUACUUCGUGAGCUCCCAUAUCAUAUGCUAGGGUUAGCCCGGCGAGUAGAGCCUCGUACUUGACCUGGUUAUUGGUGCCCUUGAAUCCGAAUUGGAGUGCUUACUCCAAUAGGAGGUCGUCCAGUCCUUCGAGGAUGACUCUUUCUCCACACGCAAUCUUGUUGGAGGAGUCGUCAACUUACAAUGUCCAUCCUGCCGAGAGGUCUGACAGAGGUGCGAGCUCGACUGAGAAGUCGGCCAGCCAUUGAGACUUGAUGGCGCCUCUCGGUUGGUACCAGAUGUUGAAUUCAGAGAGCUCAACUGACCAUCCUAUCAUUCAUCCUGCAAGGUCGGGUUUAGAUAAAAUUUUAAAAAUGGGAUAGUCAGUCCUUACCAGUGGUUUUGGAAAUAGGGGUGCAUCCGCCUUGUCGUUAGGACGAGGGCAAAAGCAACUUUCUCUAUCAUCUGAUAUCUUGUUUUGGCCGCAUGAAGCGUUCGGCUGACAAAGUAUACCAACCAUUCUUCCCCCUCUACUUCCUGCACUAACGCGACACUGACCGCUUCUUCCGAGACCGCUAGAUACACUAGUAUAGGCUGAUCAAAUCUCGCCUUCUGAAUGACUGUCAGUGACGAUAGGAAGUCCUUCAACCAUUUGAAGAUCUCUUCACACUUUUCAUCCCAACUGAACUUGGCUGCUUUGCGGAGUAGUUGUACCAUCGGUCUCGUUCGCUUGGCCAGGCGGGGUACGAAUCUAGAGAGGGUCAUGAAGCGCCCUAGGAGUUGCUACACCUCCUUUAUGUUUGGCUUGGUGACUAUGACGACAUUGGCCAACCAGGUUGUGUACCGGGCCUCGCAGAUAAACCCAGCCGACAGGAGCUUUUGGGCUUCCUCUUUAGCUGCAAGACAUUUCUCGACGCCAUAAUCCUUCUUCUUCUUCUGCGCGAUCAUUCGCGCUUCCUUAAAUACCGACAACUUGUGAGUGAUAAUGUCCAGACUUAACCUCGGCAUGUCGGAUGGGGUCCACGCGAACAAAUCUACAUUACUUUUCAGCGUGGCGUGCAUUAGAUUGGCCUCAGCGGUUGCAAUGGUCGUGCCGACGCUGAUCUUGUGCUCCUCGUCGAGGAGGGACACCCGACGCAACUCUUCCCUAGCUUCCAACCUGUCUUCAGUCGUUCAGGGAUCUAGGUUCACCAGAGCGACUGUAGGUAUUGGUAGUGUUGGUUGGGUUUUUUUGGGAGAACCGUGCCUCCGAGAAGAUUUGCGUUUAGGGGAGCGAUCAUCCCUCAAAGGCUCCACCGUAAGACUCUCGGCGUAACAUUUCUCGCCACCUUUUGGUUAACAUGGACCGUGAGGAUGUCUCUUGACGGCAAAGGGAACUUCAUCGCCAGGUGGGGUGUUGACACGAUGGCCAUCAGCCAGUUGAUAGAUGGUCGUCCAAUGAGGAUGUUAUAGGAAGUGUUUGCAUCAAUCACCAAGUAUCAGAUCUUGAUGGUUUUACAAUUAUUUUCCUUGCCAAAGGUGGUAUAAAGCUCAAUGUAGCCUUUAAUACCCACCCUUUCGCUCGAGAAACCGACUACAUGCCAUUUCGGCCUCGGGUAUCCUCAUAGCUUUGAAGGUCUUCCAAUAGAGGAUGUCUACUGAACUUCCCUGGUCCACUAGCGUUUUCCUUAUGGUGAACCUGUCGGUAUCGAGCGAUAUCACCAUAGGAUCGUCUUGCCAAUAGUCAACACCUUUGAAGUCAUCGUCAGUGAAGAUGAUGGGCGACAUCCUCAGUCAUAAUGACACCGCGUUCACCUCCUGCACCGCAUGAAGGUGCUUCUUCCGGGCGUUGUUGGUGCUUCCCCCACGGGCAAAUCCGUCGAUGAUUGUGUUGAUGACUUCUCGGUUCCCCCUGCUCUCGGUUUCUCGUGAGGGAUCGUCUCUUUGUGGAGGGUCAUCCCUCCUUUACCGUCGCUUGGGAGGUCGGUCGUCUCGUAGCCUUGGUGAUGGCAUUUUCAUGAAGUUCUUCUUGAAUCAAUGUAGAGUAUGGGGCGGAAGCAAUGUAUGAGAGUGAGCAAGAUCCUCCUAAGAGUGGUGUUGAUCUUGUAGGUGCAUGAUAAGUGUGGGUAUUGAGUGGUUCGGCCAGCUCAAGGGAAAAGAUGAAGGAAUUGAAGUUUAGAGCCUAGGAUUCUAGGGAGAAGCAAAGUUGAGCACAAAUUGGCAACAUAACUUUACUCACAAUAAACUUGAAAAUACAAGGUGUAGGCUCCUCCUUUUAUAGGCUAAGGAGGACCAUAAUGCAACCCUAAUGCUAGCCAAAUGAAAUGUAAAUGUGAAGCACAUGGGUGCACAUGGCACAUGGGUGCACAAAUGAGCACAUGGGGAGGGGUGUGUCUAGUUUUUAUGCUCACCCCCUCCAUGGGCUUUCUAGACCGGCCUUGGUAAAUUUAGAGGUUUUUUUAGAAACUCUAAGUUUACCUAGGAUGGUGUUUUAGGUGCCAAAAUUAAUUCUAAGAAAAUUACAAAUAAAGUUCCUAUGCUAAUUUUGACAAGAAAUUAAAGUCUACUCUACACUAGAGUUUAUGGCAUUUGAACAUGUAAAAGAACGUCUUCUUGGAUUCUCUUGGCCAUAACUCUAUGGUUGGCCCAAAUCUACCCUUUGGUGGGCUUGCAUGUGGGCUUGUGUUUGGGCCUCUUCCAUCACUUGGGGUGAAUGUAUUCGCUUUGCGGGCUCGUCUCUGCAGGGAAAGUACCUCGUACCUCGGCUUCCCCAAACGAACCGCGCAGGUGCCCUGCUUGGAUGAGUUCUUCGAUUUUAUCCUUUAAAGCUUGAAAUUCUUAAGUAGAAUGCCUGUUGUUCUGAUCAUAUCGACACCGUUUUCCUCUGUCGGCAUUAUCUGAGCUUGCUACCUUUCUAGGGGGAGGGAUCAACUUGACGUUGAGUGCCUCGUAGAAUUCUUCCCCUCUCAACCGUCAAAGGGUAUACUUAGAGAACCGGUUUCCCCAACUGUCUCUACGUCUGUCGCCACGAUGGCUCGAUCGACCUUGGCGCUCCUUCUCCUCCUUUCCUUUCUCACCAAUGGCUUCUGCCCGGGCUUGGUUACGAAAUUCCCUCAGCUCCUCCAGUUGCAUGAAUUUAGCUGCUAUUUUCCUGAGCUCGUCUAAGCUAGCGGCCAACUACAUAUAGAGAUUUUUGGAAAAGGGUCCCAGUCGCAGGGUCGUUAGCAUAUGGUGCAUGGCAACAUCCGGACUAAGGUUCUGGAUGCUCAUUGCCACCUUGUUGAACCUGUCGACGAAUGUUCUCAGAGAUUCUCCCUUCUCCUGGCGAAUGCCCACCAGGGUGAUGGAGGUCAAGUGAUGUGGUCGGCUAGUGGCGAACUAGGUCUCGAACUUCGAUAUGAUUGUUGCGAAGCUGUCGGCGGAAUUGGUUGAGAGUUUGGUGAACCAACUAAGGGUUCCUCCCUUCAGGGACGUUCGGAACACUCAGCACAACACCGCAUCAUCCGACGUGUAGAGACUCAUAUGGGUGGUGUACGCGUCCAUAUGCUCGUCCGGUUCAGUUGUGCCAUCAUACUGAUCCCUAUUGAGGCCCUUCCACUUGUCCGGUAGUGGAGCUUCUAUGAUGACGUUGGUGAAGGAGUGUCGACGAACCAAAUCAAAGGUAUCAUUCGUCCUGGCUGACUUGUUGAGACUGGAGUCACCAUCCAUCUCAUGGAUGGGAGCCUUGUCCUUGGUCUCCUCAACCGCUCUCGGGUUGGGAGGGGAGGUGAAUGACCUACUGACUACGUUCAUCGGCCCAACGGAUGAUCCUCCCUCCACCAACUUCUUCCUCAUGUCCUCAUUUUUCAUGCGGAGAGCCUAUAUUUCCUGCUCGUUUUUCCUAGUGACUUCUUCAUUUUUUUUCUUCAUCUCGACCAUUUCUCUCUGCAGAGACAACAACAACGCCAUCCGGUCGGCUUCGCUCAUCCUCUCCAUGCUUCGGGUUAAUACCAUCUACUAUUGCUUCUUCAAUUGAUUUCUCUCGACCCCACGGUGGGCGCCAAUUGUUCAUGCUAGGGGGAUGAGACCUAAAGAACUAUUGAAAAGCUUCGUCUUCUUCCUUCUUAUCAGGCGAUCGGUCUAUGCUUCAGGUUCCUCUUCUAAGCUUCUCACUACUCCUUUAGUCUCGGUUGUUCGAUCACUCGGUCUUCUAGAGAAUACCGGGGGAGGGGGGGGGGUUACCUACAGAAGGCACUCUGACGCUCAAGUCAACAAAGGGGGUUCGGUACUUGGUUGUCAGAGCACAGUAAUAAACGUACCUGCUUCUUGGAAUGUGUGUUAUUUAAUGAGCCUACCUUGUUGGAUCGGAUUAUUGAGGUGAAUCGUGUUUAGAGGUGUAUUACCUAGUUCUUAAUGAUGACUUAGCUUCACUUACUUUGAUUGAGUGUAAUUGGACCAAAGAUGUCGACCCACACGGACGUGGAACAUUUAGUCGGUUCAAUUGUAGGAACUGAGACAUGAUAUUAAUCGCUCGUUCCAUAUCAUUACAGGAAAAAAAUUUGAUAAUAAUUAAAGAGAAGAAUGUUUUUACAUAUAGUUAGAGAUAAAAUGCAGCAUUACGUUACUAAAUUGAAUCGUGCACCUAAAAAUCAUCUUAUUAUAUUAAUUUAAAAUCUUUUUUAUUAUUUAACUAUUUUUUUUUUCUUAAUUUAAAAUAUUUUUUUCUUAAACUAACUAGAGUUUAUUAUAUUUAAGGAUUAAAAAAGAAAAUUUAAAAAACAGGAAUAUAAAAAAAUUACAGAAAACAAAAUCAGAUACGAUUUAUAUUUAUCUUUAAUUCUGUAUUUAUAAAUAAAUUAAGUCGCUUUUAAUAAGAAAAAAACUUAAGCUAUUCAACUCUAACUAUUGUUAUCUUAAAAUUUGAUCUGAUCGUUAACUGUGAAUUCCUUAAUUGACAUUAAUUAAAAUAGUUAUUUUAUAGUGUUGACCCGGUUAAGGCGUAUAACUUUUCCUAUUAACUUUUUUAUUAUUUUCUUCUUUUUCAUUUAAUAAAUAAUUUUAAAAAAAUUACAUUCGCUGUCAAUCAGUGUUGGAUCGCAACAUUUAUCUUUUAUUUGGGUAGUUAAUUGUGUUCCAUAAACAAAAAAAAUUCAGAAAAAGUAAGAUUAAGUUAAUUAUUAUUUUAAAUUAAAAUCAAUAUAUACACUUUCAAUUUUAGGGUGGUAAGAUUUUCUCUUUAUGAAAAUAGUGUGCUAAACUUUAAUUUUGUGUCAUUUGAUUUUCUUCAGGGAAUAUCAAUUUCAUAAACCUUAACUUUCAUAUGAUUUGUCUUUAAUUUUUUUUUCAUAGUCACGUUGAUUUUUAAUUAUUUAAAAAAAAUCUUAGAUAUUUUUUUUUUUAAUUACAAUUAGAAUACUCACUUAAAAGAAAGUGUAAUUCAUCUUAAAUAUUAAUAGUUACAACUCAUUUUUUAUAUUUACGUAUAAUGAGAACAUGGAUUUAGAAAAUAUAAAAGGGAGGAAUAAUAUAGUUAAUAAAAAAUAUAGUUUAUUUUUAAUUCUUAGUUUAUUAAAUUUUAAUGUUUUGAUUAAUUAAAUAGAAGUUAAAAUAAAUAAACAACUGAGUUCUUAGUUAUAGUGUGUGAUAUCACCCUACUUAAUAUACGAACUAUAUUUGAAAUUGUGAUAAUUUUGAAGAAAUAAUUAAUGUAAAAUUGAAAUAUUAGUGUCUAUGUGAAAAAAAAGUAUCUUUAAAUUCAAGGUGUCUAUUUAAAAAAAAUAAAGUAUUGAAUUGAUAAAAAAAAAUUAGAAUGCUUAUUUGUAAAAAAUAAAGUUUAAAAGAAUCAAAUACUUUCUUUUUAAAUUUUAUGAAAAAAUUAUUUAAUUUUACAAAAAUAAAAUUCAUGAAUUGAUUUAACUUGUGAAAAAAUUAUAAUUUUUUUCUUAUAAAUAUAUGAAUAAGUUUAUCCAGAUAAAAUAGUUAGCUUUAAUGAUUUGACUAUAUAAGAAACGUAGUAGUGUUUAAUAGAUUUGGGGUAAAUGAAAAUUAAAACUUAAUAUUUCUAGAAGGUCAAAUCGAAGGAAAAAUAAUAAUCAGCAUACACGAUUCCUUUUGUUUUAAGAUUUGAUUUAUUGUGUUGGAUUAAGCAAUGUUUUUGCUCUGUUAAAAAAAAUGUGAUGAAACAUACACCUCAUGUAAUACUAAGACUCGUAAUUUAAAUUUUUAUUUAAUUGGGAAAAUAUACAACCAAAGCAGUGGGGUUACACACCAACCAAACCACAGAUUCAUAGCACUUCAAUAACCAACCACACACCACAAUUUUCUCUCACUUUUUUUUUUCACUCAUAAUGCAGAUCACAAGAAAGAAAGAAAGAAAAGCAGAAGUCACAGCCCUCACUGCUAUGGUCACAUACACCUGCAUCAGACAAGGAGGAAAAUAAAUCAGAACAUAUAACCUUAGUAAUCAUGUUCUGCCAUACACCUAUAUAGAAAGAAAAAUGUUUCUUUCACACUCUUUCAAAAAAUUACAUUCAUUUAACAAUUUAUAGGCUAAAAAUGAUAGCUCAACACACAGGGUGUCAUUGUGCUAAAAUGUAUAAUUUCCUUAGAUCAAAGUAACAGAAGAAAACAAGAUCAGAAAUUUCCUAAUUCAUAAUCAUGUUCCAAACACCAAAGAAUAAAAUCAUGGAGAAUAUUGAUAGAGCAGAGACAAGAUAACAAAAGAAGAGUUCACCUUAAUUAUAGCUUAACAUAUAUAUAUAUAUAUAUAUAUAUAUAUAUAUAUAUAUAUAUAUAUAUAUAUAUAGGUGUAGAUAUAUAUAUAUAUAUAUUUGUAUUGCUGCUGCUGCUGGCGGGGGCGCGCGCGCGAGUGCGCGAGAGCGUGAGCUUCUUCUUCUUCUCGCCCUCAGCACCUUCACCGUGGAUCUUGUCCUUGAUCUUCUCUACGAACCCUUGUUUGUGCUCUUCUCCAUGGUGUUCUGGCUUGUGCUCCCCUUUGUGCUCACCAUGGUACUCUCCUUUGUGUUCACCAUGGUGCUCUCCUUUGUACUCACUAUGUUCACCAUGGUGCUCCCCUUUGUGCUCCUCCUCCUUCUUGUGCCCUCCCACAUGAAGGGUCUCCCCAAUCUUGUGAAUGAUUCCUGACAUUGUCUCUCUUUCACUUAGCUUCUUCCGGUUUUGGUUUUGGUUUUUGUUUUGGUUUUGCUGUGUUCUUACCCCAAGAGAUGAACGGUAUUUAUAGGAAGAAAGUCAGGUAUAAAGGAAAAAAAAAUGCUAUCCAUCAUUGAAAUUACUGGAAUGACCAUCAACGUGUUCUUUGCGUGUAUUCGUUUAUAACUAUUUUGUUUACUGAUAAAAAAAUAUAGAAUCAUAUAUACCUCACAUGAUUUUCUUUUUUAUAUACUUGUGACAGCUGUAAUGUUAUGUAAUUUCAAGAUCAAUACGAAUAUGAUGUUUUACUUAUACUUUUAAAUGGAAAAGCAGUUAUAUUUGAUUCAAGAAAAUAUAACAGAAACAAAUUAAUGAGAGGUGUGAAAUUAAAGUAUGAAUGAUGAAUUAAUAAGAGAAGGAGCAAACACGUGUCGAGUGGUUAAGGGCUGAGACAAUUGUGUCGCUAAUAUUUGUGCAUUUGUAACCUAACUGUAGCUUUUCUGGUGUAAUACGGAACCUAUUGAGAGAAACAUCCUAUGCUUACUAAUUGAAGAGACAAAGAAAUAAAUCUUAAAGUUGGGAUGUGGCAAUGUAUUAUGCAAAUCAUGACAAUGUCUGUCCAAAAUUUAGGUUAGGUACAUUCAAUCAGAUAUUAUUAUAUAUUUCUAGUCAUUAACCCUGCAUUCUAGAUUCUACUUUCAGAACAAUUUCUAUCUAUUUUUUAUUUCUUUAUUUUCAAAAUCAAAAGCAUGGAAAAUCUUACAACUCAAUGGGUUUUUUUCUUUCCUGUAAAUAGUCUAAUUUCAUUUGAUAUUUUCUGUGAAAUAAAAACAAAAAUUAUUCUGGAAUUAGACAAGUCCUACUUAACCCAUUUCAAAAAAUACACAUUAUUUGGAGAAAAAAAUCAGUCAAUGAUGUAGCCCCCCCAAAGAGAAAAAGAGGUAUGUAUGAGGACAUAAUUUAGUCCAAAUCCAUAAUAUGAUUCCCUUUGUUCUUAGUCCUCUAAAACAAAAAUAAAUCAAAGAAUAAAUUGCAAUUUUAGUAAUUAUGUGAUACCUUUUCUUUUCUCAAUUUGAAUCUCCUAAUUUUAAAAAAAUUGUAACUUUAGCUAAUUAUGAGUUAUGCACACACUUUAUCUUUAUUUCAAUUAAUCAAAUGUUUCAAUUGUAAUUUAAAUAAAACUUUAAGUUUAGAUAUGAAUUGUAUCAAAAAAAAAAAGAAGAUUGAAUUCACAUUAUUUUGUUAAAAAAUUAGAAGAGAGUACACUAUUAUUUAACCCAAACUAAAGUAUAGAGGAUAAAAGAGUAAAAAGAAUGGUAGUUUGAGAAGAAUAAAUGAAUAAAGAAAGAAAAAUGAUUGUAUUAUUUGAAAAAUAGUUUAAAGCAUGAUGGAUGAAAUAGGGUAGCGUGGAAUAGGGGAGAAGGUGACCCACCGACCAUUAUGGGCCAUAAAUGAAAGAUCCAAAAGAGGAUAAGAAGGGCCCACUUUCCGUAUCUGAAGAAGAGAAAGUAGAAAACAACGUUAUUCCCACUAUCUUUUUCUUUCUGUUACCGACUUUAAUUUAAAAUACAAUUUUUUAACGAUAAUCCCUUAAUUCAACUUUUAAUAUCUUAUAAAUUUAAAUAUUUUAAUAAAUUUUACACAAAAAGAUGUUACUCAAUCAAGAAAGAGUAAGUUAGUCAACAAGUUUAAUACUAAGUAACGACUUAUUAAGAGCAAAAUUCAAUUACUUAAAUAAAAAUGAAAAUAUAUAUAUUCAAUAAAAAAUUUAAUAUUUAAUUUAAAUUAAAAAUGCAAGAAGUAAAAAUGAGAUGAUAAUAUUUUUGUUAGAAGUUUUUUUCCAUAAAUGUUGUAAGAAAUUAGCUAAGAAUUAUAAGUACUCAUUUAAAAAUACAGCUGAUAAAUAGAUUUUAAUAAUAUUCGAUAGUUGAUAGCUAUUUUUGAAGCGAAUCCGUUUUUUUGUCUCAUUGGUUUUGAAGAUGACGCGUGGAUGGUUAUAAACCUGCCGACACCGUUGAAUGGAACCGCCCCUGACAGUUUUGUUCAGUUUUUGAGAAAUAAAUAAUAAUAAUAAACUUUUAACGUAAGAAAAAUUAAAUCGUACCCAAUUCUCAAGGCUGUAUCAGAUAUUUUAUUUUACCAAACCUAAAUAUAUUUAAACAUUAAAAUAGAUCUAACGUUAUUAAAAUAGUGUUUAUUGGGUUCCAAAUAUUAAGUAAAACUAAAUUAACUCCAUUAAUAAUUAUUUGAAUUAGGUCAAUGGGUACUCCACAUAAUAAAAAGGUCGUUUUUUUUACAAUUUUAAAAAAAUAUUUUUUUCUUAUUAAUUAUUUUGAUUAUGUAUAGAUUCUUUUUGUAAUUCUAUGAAAAAUAAAACACAAAAAGUUAACUUAUCAUUAUGUUGUAUUUAUUUUAUCAUAAAUUAACUCAUAAUUUAUAAAGAUAUUUUUAUUCACUAUAUAUUUUGACUCAUCCUUUUGUUGUUCUAUUCAAACAAUUUUUAGAUAAAAAUUAUUUAUUUCUAAGAAUUAAUUAUUUAAAAAAGUGUUUUUCCUUUUAUACAAAAUGCUGACAGUUGAAUAUAUAAUAAGUUGACCAAUGAAAAAAAUGGAUAAAACUCUUAAAUAUGACAUGGAAAUAUAGAAAUUAUAAAAAGAAAUUGUCAUGUACACUAUGUUUUAAGAACUUUGCCUUAGAUCAAUCUAGCUCAAAAAAAAAAGACGUUAAAACCUAUAAAUGAGUUAUCUAGUAAAAAAGCUCUAAAUAAUGUGUAGGGAAGAAGACUAAAAACAACAAAAUGAUUACUUGUACAAAAUAAAUAAAAAUAUUGUGAAUGUUUAUUAACUAUUAAAAAACUAGAUUAAGAAAAAAAAACUAGUUAAUAUGAAAGAAUUCAUAUUAAAAAGGAAAUGCAUUCAUUUGUUGUACGAGCUUGCAGUAUAAAGCAACCCACUCGUUUCAAAAGCAAAUUGGUAUCAUGAUUUUCACAAACCUGUCCAGUCAACUAAGACCAUCUUGACCAUCACCUAAUUUUGUUGUUGUAAAUUAUGAAAAUAAUAAUAAUAUUUUUUGUUAAUUUCAUUCUAUUAUUUUAAAUCUUUUUAAUUUGAUUUCAUUUUAAUUAAUAUAAAUUUUUCAGAAAAUUAGAAAUAGUACCAUCUAAUAUUUAUUUUUCAUAUUAUGUGUUAUUUUUGUUAAUAAGUCACAUGUCACGUCUAUUAUUAUUAUUAUGACAGAUUAAAAGUGACUAUGUUAAUUCAUUUAAAAAAGUAAAAUUAAAUUGAAAAUGUUUAAAAUAAUAAGAUUAAAUUAAAAAAAACAUUUAAAAAAUUAUUAAAUAAAGAAAAUUAUAUAUGUAUGAUAUUCUUUUAGGGCAAAUAAUAAUGAAAAAUUAUAUAUGCAUUAUCUUCUAUUAGGACAAAUAGGAUGCGUUUGGUGGUUUCUUAUGUGUAGUUUUGUCCUCAAAGAAAAAAAGUGAUUUUCUUCUUCCCAAAUUGGUGAGGUAAAGCAAUGUAGAUCACCUUAAUCGGUAAUGUGAAUAUAAUAGCUUACAAAGUCUCCUAUUUGAUUUGCGUGUACAUUGCUUAAUUUGUAGUUGAUUUACAUCACAUAGGCGGAAAGUUAUUUGUAGUAGAUUUUGUUGCAUAGUAUCUUGGAAAUGAGUUUCACUACAUCAAACUUUAUAAGUUAGGUGUGUAAGACUAUAUAUCAUGGAUGAUCCGAUAACGGAUUGAUAGUAUGUGACAUGAUAAGUCCAACAAACAAUCGCUAGGAUAGGAAAUGACUCUGAUAUCAUAUUGAAAAUUGGACUUUAAGUUUAACUCAACUUCAUAAAAUCAACUUAUAAGGUGAGGUUUGCACCUACUUAUAUAUUAUGAAAUGUCCUAAUCUUUAAUUGAUCUGGGAUCUCCAACAAUAAUUAAACUUAGUGUCAUCAUUGGAUACACUACGUAAGGAAACAAAUGUGAGUAAAUUGUCAUCAUGGGGACACUACCUGGGAAACAAAUAUUAUUGUUGCCUAGACCAACAGUAAAUGUAAUAAAAUAUUAUUAAUUUUUGCAUCCACUUUGUGUUCUCAUUCUCUACGCAUUAUCAUUCUGCGAUUUAUUUUUUAAUUGUCUCUACUUUGUAUCUCCAUUCUAGACGCUAACUUAUUAUUAUUUUAAUAAUUUAGUGUGAGUUAAAGGUCUUCACUGUUGACACAAUAUUUGACAUUUAUUUUUGUGUCCAACUUGAGUAGACUUCACUCUUAUUAGUGACUUCUUUUUUAUAGUCUUCGUUUUUUGUUGACAACUAAAAUGAAUUUUUCUUAUAGUGCCUUAAGUGAAAAAAAUAUAAAAUAUGAGUUUUUUUAAGCUUAAAAUUUAUUAUCAUUAAAAUAAAGUUGAAUUUGAGUUUCUUAAAAAUAAUAUACUAUUAUGAUAAGAUAAACCGUAUUACAUAAACUACGAAAAAUGAUUUAAAAAAGGAAAACUAUACUUUCACGUAUAUUAGGAAAAAUAUAUAACUUUAUAAUUAAAUUUGAUAGUUUUAAAAAAAUAUAAUGUGGGAGGUGGUCCUGAUACUGCUACACUAAUCACUACAAGAAAAACGCGAAUUACAUACAGAUUAAAUUCCGUAUGUAAAUAUUAGCACCAUAAAAGAAAAAAUUACCAGUGAAUGGGAUUCAAAGCCAGGUUCCUUCAGCAAUCCUUCAACAACCAAGUAAAAUUUAACCACUACACCAAGCAAAUUCUUUAAUUUUAUUAUGAUUUUUAUUAUACUUAUUAUUAUUAAUAAUACUAACAAUACUAACAAUAUUAAUAAUACUAACAAUACUAACAAUAUUAAUAAUACUAACAAUACUAACAAUAUUAAUAAUACUAACAACACUAACAAUAUUAAUAAUACUAACAAUAUUAAUAAUACUAACAAUAUUAAUAAUAUUAAUAAUACUAACAAUAUUAAUAAUAUUAAUAAUACUAACAAUAUUAAUAAUAUUAAUAAUACUAACAAUAUUAAUAAUAUUAAUAAUAUUAACAAUACUAACAAUAUUAAUAAUAUUAAUAAUACUAACAAUACUAACAAUAUUAAUAAUAUUAAUAAUACUAACAAUACUAACAAUAUUAAUAAUAUUAAUAAUACUAACAAUACUAACAAUAUUAAUAAUAUUAAUAAUACUAACAAUAUUAAUAAUACUAAUAAUACUAACAAUAUUAAUAAUACUAACAAUACUAACAAUAUUAAUAAUACUAACAAUAUUAACAAUAUUAAUAAUACUAACAAUAUUAAUAAUACUAACAAUAAUAAUAAUACUAACAAUAUUAAUGAUACUAACAAUAUUAACAUAUGAAUCACAUUUAAUUUAUCUAUAAUCUACUUGAAUCUAAACAUAAUUUAUUAUAUUAUCUAUUAGUAUGAAUCAAAUUUAAUAUAUGUCAUACUCAUAGUCAUCAUAUUACCUAUUACAUUAAAAUCAGCUAUUAUAUUAAUUAUUAUUUUACGAUCAUAUUGACUUAAUUAAGUUCAUAAUAGGUAGUUGGUUUUACUUGUGUGUUAUAGUAAAGAAUAUUGUCAACAAACAAUAUUAUCUUUUAACAUAAAAUGAUGACUUUUACAUUAACUAUUAAUUAAAUCUCUAAUACAGAUUACUAGUUAGCAUAUCAUUAUAGUUUAAACUAUAUUAAUUAUUCCAUAAAUCUAUGUAAAAGGUUGUUACUAAAUAACCCUUUCUACUAAUAUAUAAUAUAAAAUCAUAAUGACAAAGUGAUUAAAUAAUUUAUAAUUUAAAAUAUUUUAAAAAUUAUACAUUAUAUCAAUUUUAAUCUAUGUAAGUAAAUAUUUGAAAAUAAGAUUUUUUUUAUCGACAAAGAAUAAAAAAAAUUAAACAAAACACUUUAAGGAUAUUUCAAUCCUUAUACAAGAAUCUCAAAUUAGAAAAGAAGUGUAAGAUACAAGCACCUAUAUAGCCAUCUAACAAAAACUUCACAACUACCUAUAAUAACCUAUAUUUGAAAAUAAGAUAUCAAAUAAUUUUAUAUUAAUAUAUAUAUAUAUAUAUAUAUAUAAUAUGAAAGUAAAUUUAAAUUUAACCAUGAGUUUUAAAAAAUUAAUGAUUAAAUAAAGAAAUAUAUUAAUCAAUAUAUAUGUAUUUAUAGUAUUAAAUUUAUAUUAAUAUUAUAUAAUUUAUUUUAUUAUUAUUAAUUAUAUUAAUAUGUAUAAAUUAUAUUAAUAUGUAUAAGUAUAAUAAAAAUGAUAAUAUGACCAAAGAACUUGUCUGGUCUAGUGGUCAAUGCUUCCCUUGGUCACUGGAAAGACUUGGGUUUGAAUCCUGGCUGCUUCAGUUUGCUUGUAACAUUAUUUGGGUCUUGGUUUCGAGUUCUAUGGGCUUGGGUUUGAGUCUUAGCCAGUGUAAAAUCCAGGAAAACUGCUAAGGCAUUUCUAUCCAAAAAGUCGCAAUGAAGGUCUCUUAUUUUUUUUUUUUUGGAAUGUCGGAGGACGGACAAACCACUAAAUUAUGGAGAUGUUGUUUAAUUUACUUAAACUGCAUAAACCUCUUCUUGUUUUUCUUGUUGAACCUAUGAUGUCGUACACCGAUGUUUUAGAUGUUUUUUUUUUUAAAUCUGUUAAUCGACAUUUGGUUGCUACGUCUCCUAUCAUUAAUAAAGUUGCUAAGCUUUGGUGUUUGUCGGUUCCAAAUCUUGUCCAAAAUUUCUUGGUCAAUGAUCAAUUUAUUUUUGUAACUUGUCUUCUGCAUGAUAAAUGCUUUAGCUUUAGAGGUGUUUAUGGUGCUAACACAUACUUGGUUAUACGACUUUUGUGGAGGGAUCUUAAUUUCUUCAAGAUUUCAAUGUAUUUUAGGAGAUUUUAAUGUUGUACUCUCGACUGAUGAUUGCAAAGGGGGGUGACUCCAAAUCAGGUUUCUUGUAAUGAAUUCCUUGAUUAGAUUAAUACUAAUGAUCUGACUUGUAUGUCUUUUACUAGACCUUGUUAUACUUUGUGUAAUGGGAGGAAAGGGUUACACAAAAUUCAUAGAAAACUAGAUAGGGCUAUAUGUAAUGGAGUGUUCCUGGAUGAAUGAGAUUCUUGUACUUAUCAGGUUCUUGUUAAAAAAGAUUCUGACCAUUCCCCUAUUCUUGCUAGUAAUUUUUUAAGGAAGGUUAACAAUUUUUGUUUCUUUUCGAUGUGGCUUCAGAAUAGUUCAUGUAUGAAGCUUAUUCAUGAUUUUUGCGCUAAUACGGUUGUUGAUUGUCCUAUGUUUAUUUUGCAACAUAAGUUAAAAAUGUUGAAAAUUGAGUUCCGAGCUUGGAAUAAAAAUUCUUUUGGUAAUGUUCACAAUGCAAUGCUUCUUAAGUAGAGUCUCCUCCUUGGUAUUCAACAAACCUUAGAGACUGCUAGUUUGUCUGAUAUAUUGAUGGACUUCUCUAUCAAGAAAAGAUUGCUAAGGAUGAACUUUAUCAUGCUCUUCACUGUCAAUAUUUGUUUUGGAAAGAAAAGGUCAGGAUGCUCUAGUUUAAAGAUGAGGAUAAAAAUACUGUUUUUUUUUCCAUGUUGUGGUUAAGAGGAGAAAUAAAUCUAGUGACACUCAUCGCGUACGGAUUGAUAAUGAGGUUAUUGAGGAUCAUCAACUCAUUAAGGAUAAUAUUUUGGAUUUUUAUAAAAAUCUUUACGCUGAGUUUGUUUCUAAUGAUCAUGAUAUAGGUAAUGUGAAAGAUUUUAUUGGUAAUUAUAUUCUUGAGUUGGUUUCCUCUUAGGAGAAUAUGAUGUUGAUUAAAUGCCCUAAUUAUUUGAAAAUCAAGAAUAUUAUUUUUAAUCUUAAUGGUAAUAAUGCUCUUAGUCUUGAUGAUUUUAGAGGUGUUUUCUAUCAUUCUUGUUGGGAAAUUAUUGGGAAAGAUGUUUGCAAAGCUGUUCAACAAUUUUUUAAACAAAACUGGGUUCUUUCUGAAAUGAACAACAACGUGGUAUCUCUUAUUCCUAAGAUCCAGGGUGCUGAAUCCAUUAAAGAUUACAGACCGAUUGUUGUUGCUAAUUUCAAAUUUAAGAUUAUUUCCAAAAUACUUGCGAAUAGGCUUGCAAUUGUGGCUGCUAGAAUCAUUUCUCCUAAUCAAUGUGGGUUUGUGCAGGGUAGACAAAUUCAAGAUUGUAUUGGUAUUGCUUAUGAAGCUAUUAACAUACUUUCUAAAAAGGUUAGAGGAGGGAAUUUGACUUACAAAGUUGAUAUUCAUAAAGCAUUUGACACUCUGAGUUGGAAGUCUUUAUUACUAGUUUUGACAUGCUUUGGUUUUCAUCCCUUGUUUGUCGGUUGGAUUAGUACAAUUCUUCAUUCAGCUAUGCUUUCUAUCAGGAGAAAUGGUAGUUUGGUGGGUUUUUUCCAUUGUCUCCUUUACUUUUCUGUCUUGUAGAGGAAGUUCUCAGUAGAGGUAUUCCUAAGCUUGUGAAUGAUAAGAAGAUUCUGCAUAUGGUUAGUCUGCAAGGUUAUGUCACUCCCUCUCAUAUUUUAUAUGUUGAUGACAUAUCUGUUUUCUAGAGGACGAAUAAUAAAUCUCUUAGAAAUUUGAGUCUUUUCUUAGAAUAUAUGGAUAUUUUUCGGGUCAAUAUGUUAAUAAUUCUAAGAGUAGUUUUUUCACCAUGGAUAAUUCUGCAAGAUUUGUCACCAAAAUUCAACGUCUUCUUUCUUGUAGUCAUGGUUGCUUACCUUUUACUUAUUUAGGAGUACCUAUUUUUGUUGGUGCUCCAAAGUGAUGAUUUCUUCAACCUUUGGUUGAUAAAGGCAAAUUGAAGCUAGCAUCUUGGAAAGGUAAAUAUCGUAGCAUGAAGGGUCAAAUUCAGUUGGUUAAUACGAUGAUUACUGAAUUUUUAGUUUAUAGCUUUAAUAUGUAUAACUGGUCUGUUUCCCUUACAGUUGAGCAGUGGUGUAGAAAUUUUAUUUGGACUAGUGAUAUUCUGAAAAAAGGUAUAACUAUAGUUAAUUGGGCUACGAUUUGUACUUCUCUUGAGAAUUGAGGUUUUAAGAUUAUUAAUAUUCAUCAUGAAAAUAAUGUGUAUCUUCUUAAGCUUGCUUGGAACGUUGCUUAUAGUAACAAGUUUUGGUAUUUUCUCCUAAAAGCCAGAGUUCUUAAAUCAAAAUACAAGUUUUGAAUGGUUUAUUGAUCCUCGUCUCUUUGGCCUAGAAUUAAGCAGUUUUAUGCUACUAUACUUGAUAAUACUUCUUGGACUAUUGGUAUAGGUACUUUUAUUAAUUUUUGGAAUGAUAAAUGGUGUUCUACUACUUCUUUAGCUAACAUUGUAGGGCUAUCUGAUAGUGCUAGCAUUCUGAAUACAGUCUCUCAGUUUUGGACUGGUUGUGAUUGGAAUAUUCCCUUGUCUUUACAGCAGAUGCCUCAUUUUUUUAAUCAUAUCAUGGUUACGGAGGUACAAGAUAUUCCUAAUUGGAUUUUGAUGAGUUUGGUCGUUUCACUCCUAAAUCGAUUAGGACUUUUUUCUUGGAACCAGGAGUUCUUUGUGGUUAGGGUAAAUUCAUUUGGUCUUCAUAUAUUCCACCUUUCAAAACUCUAGUACUGUGAAAAGUUUUUCAUAGCCGACUUCCUAUAGAUCAUCAUAUUCAGCAUAAAAGUUUGCACAUAUGUUUUAUGUGUGUACACUUUGUGAAAAGAACGAGAAAUCUAUUCAACAUUUAUUUUUUGAAAUGUUCUAAUGUUUUGCAUAUUUGGAGUUGGGUUAGGCAAAUUUUUCUUACUCCUUAGUUCUCUAAUAAGGAAAAUCUUCUUUCUUUUAUUAAGAGUGACGAUAGUUCUUUGGUUAAAUUGCUUAAGCUUGUUGUGAUAACUUUUUUUAUUUGGAUGAUAUAGCGUAUGAAGAAUUAUACUAGAUUUCAGGAUAAGAUUGAUGUUUCUCGGGCUAUUUCGAUAAUUAAAGAUUUAACUUGUCUCGUGGAAAAUUCGUUUAAAGCUUCAAUGAAGAAUGAUAUGUUGGAUUUCAGCGUCAUUAAAUGUUUUGGUAUUAAUACUCGUACUGGUAAAGUUCUUUGUCAUCUUCCUGUUAGAUGGAAGUCCCCUUUUUUAGAGUGGGUUAAAACUAACACUGAUGGAGUUGCUAAGAGAUAUCUAGUCUUAUUGUGGAAGUAUGAGAGAGUUUAUUGGGGUUUCUCUGCAUUUCUUAAUGUUCAGACUGCUUUGGUUGCUGAGUUUUAUGGAGUUAUAUAUGAUCUGGACGAAGUUCAAAAGAUGGAAUUUACUAAUGUAUGGCUUGAAUGUGAUUCUACAUUGGUUUGAGCUACGUUCACUGUUAGGACUAUUCCGUAGAGGCUUCAUAAUCAAUGAAAUACUUGUCUUAAUUAUUAUGGAAAAAUCAGGUUUAAGGUUAUUUAUAUUUUUCGUGAAGGGAAUGCGUGUGUUGAUAAGUUGGCUAGUUUAAGAUUUAUUCAUAGAUAAUCAUUUUACUGGUAUAAUAGGCUCUCUUCUAGUCUUUUUCUAAAAUUCUUUAUAAAUAUGUAUAGUCUACCUAUCAUUUUCUUUAACAUACGAGUUUUGGUAUAGUCUUUUUGUAUUUCUUUUAAUAAUAUUUUGUUUAUAUGAUAGUAGAUGAUUGUUGUUACUGGUUACGUAGUAAUACCUAUAAUUUAAAAAAAAUUAUAAUUAAAUAAUAUAUAAAAUUUUAAAAUAAUAUUAUUAUUGAUUGUAAAGUAGAUGUUGAAAAAUGAUUGGAUGUGAAAGUAUGAACAUGUUUGAAAAACUCUAAAGUUUCUAUUGGGAACGCAUAUAGAAAUGUCUUUUAAAGUUAGGUUUUAUAAUGAUGUUGCAAAAUCCAUCUCUAAUUGAUCUACCUAAUCUAUAUUACAACACAUGCAAAUCAAAGACUAUAUUUUAUCAUGUGAAAUAAUUAAUAAAAUAAUAAAUGGUCAAAUCAUUAUUAACUAAUUCAGUUUGUGUGAGAUAUAUUUUAAUUUAAUAACAUUGUACAUGGUUUAUAUGCAUUUAUUAAUCUCAAAAACCGUAUAUUAAUGCUCACAUUGAACCAACCAAAUGAACUAUAUAUAAUCUAAUAACAAUGUACAUGGUUUAUAUGUUUUUAUAGUUUUAGUACCUUAUCCAUUAGUAUAAUCUGAGUUAAAAAAUCCUAAAACUAAGUUAUUGUGUAAGAAUCUAGGAGCCAUUUACCCCAUUUGGAAACUAUCUUAGGUCUCUUGUAGUUUAAUAAAAUGUAAACAGUUUAAUAAAAUGUAAACUAUCCUGUUAAUCAAUUUUCAAUUUUGUUUUUAUCUAUUUAAUUAUCCAAAUCUGUUCAACAUCCCCAUUAUGUCUAAAGAAAGAAGAAUAAUAAAGGAAAAGUGAUAAAAAAACUUAAAUUGAUUGGAUUAGAAAAAUUAUGACCUUUUUAACAAUAUUUGAGUAUAGCAGGAUUCAGCAAAACUGAUUGAAAUCUUUAUUAAACUAACCAAGUGUGACAUGGUAAUACUUUAUAUAGUUUUCAAUUCAUAUGCCAUAGAAGUUUAUUUAUUUAUACUUUUAUUUUCACUUUUCAGAGUCUUUUCUAUUGCUAUGUACAGUAAUCAGUUCCCCUUGUAAAAAGGGUGUUGCAGAAGAAAGGCUACAUAAUCUAAUAAGCAAGGGUGUGAUGAGGAGUGUUAGAAUCAUCGUCUACUACACGAAUAGGAACUAUUGGUAUUGCAUCCCACCAUUCCCUCAACCUUCUAUUCCCUGUUUCAGAGGGCUUUCCUAAUGUCAUAGUGAAGCUUUGGAUAAUGAGACCCAUAAGGAAGAAUUUGAAUGGAAUCACUGCCAAUAAGAUCGCCAACGCACCCAUAGCCACCAUCACUAAUUUUGCAUGCUGAAAAAGAAACAAGGAUAUGUAUGUAGUAAGCAAAAGCAACCACAAAUUGUAUGUCAUAUGCACAAAUGAGGCAAACAUAUUUGAAGAACAACUCUACCUUAUCAGCCUUUGAAAUAAGUAUUGACCAUAUCUUUAGCAUUGCUAUGUUUGCUAUCUGCAUCAUCUCAUGAACAGUGUACAAUCCUUGCUGGGCUGAGACAAUGCUCUCCAUCGUAGACUGAUCAGAAGACAUACUAGAUCUACUGAUUACUAUCUCGUUGCAUUUCUCAUAAGUCUUGUUUUUUCUUGCCUCAAUCAUCUUUCUUAUUGCCCAAAUCAACAAACCUGCAAAUGCCUUGCCAACCCAUUCCCUGUCAUCAUUAUCCAGGCCAUGUUACAUACUUCCAUUCUAGGGGUAGUUUUGAUUGGUAUAUAUAUAACAAAAAUUAACAAGUUAAGAAAUAAGAACUUACAUAUAGGUGAUCAUAAGGGAUGCAGCAAGAACAACAAGAGUAAGUAAUGGCCUUUCCCAUGAGAAGAUUUGUCGAAACCAAGGGACCACAAUUUUGAGUGGCUUCAGGAGUUCCUGUACAAAGAAAUCAGAAAACUAAUAUUAGGUCUAAACUGCAAACAUGCGAACCUUUGUUUCCAUUCCAGGACCAUCCUGAAAUCUGAUUCUCAAAUGAAGAGUUUAUGACAAAGAAUAAGGCAAUCUUUUACUAUAUCAUAGCCUACAACAUAAAAAUGUUGACCAUGAACUUCACAUUUCCCAAAGUAUAAAGAAAUUUAUGGAAAGACAUUAUAAUAUACUUUCUGCACUCAGAAACAACUCCAUUUUGGACAAUCAAGUGCUACUACUGCUUACUAGAGUUCAGCAAUUGAGGAUAAUUAGGGGCUUUGUUUAGGCUAAACUAAAUCCUUACCGUUAUAACCAAAACACUGUCAAUAACUCCUUCCUCCUUUAACUCUUCAGUGGUAGCUUUAGCAAUGAGAAUUUCCCUUUCUUCCUCCCUAGCUUGUUGGAUAGCGGUUUCCAAUGUAGGACUUCCGUCUACAUCAUAAACACUUUCAUCUGCUUGUCUUGCCUCAUCUGUUAUUACAUCAGAAACUAUUGUCUUAGAAAUGUUCAUACUACUAAGAAUGGAACUUGCACUACAAGACUGGCUAUUGUUGCUUUUAUUGAGGCUAUCCGCGAGCUCUUCCAGCACAAAAUCUCCUUUUGGUAUCUCGUUAUAUAGGGAAAAUAUUAAGAAUUUGGUAGGGACAGGAGGUGAUAUUCUUAGCAUUUCUCUUGCUGCAUGCAGCCUGAUGAUUCCCAACAUUGUCCUUGAAUGCAUCUCCCACGUCUGUGCUGGGUUUUUUAUCUGGUACUUGCAUAAAAACUUGUGGAGAAAGAUUAUUUCCCUUACUAGAGCAAGCCAAUGAUCACGUCUUGUAGAACUUGUAAGCUCUGGAAACUCCAGUACAACUGUCUCUGAUCUAGAAAUUUGUAAAGAAAAACUUAUUCACGUUAAUGACAAAAGUGAAGAUUAUAUAUAUUUCUGUAAUCAUAUUACAUUAAGGUGGUACUAACAAAUUUAAGCAGAACAAGGAUAUGACUAUGUCAAAGCUAUAAAAAUUAAUAAACCACACUAAAAAAUGUUAGACAGCUACCAAUCUGUUGCUGAGUUCACAAGUUCUUAGUUCAGACCAUCUUUAAAGGCAUCAGAUGUAGAAUUCACAAACUCUACGAUUCUUCAGGAAAUGUGUUCAUUUAAAAUUCAAGGACAAAAUUGAUCAUUUAUCCAAAAUAUAUAUAUUACGAAGAUUGAAUCGGUACUACAUAUUUUAAUGGACAAAACUGUAGAAUAGGUACUGAUGAUUAAUAAAAAGUGGUAUGCUAGUGUCCUUACAAAUCAGCUGAAUCAUAGGCUAUGGCUUUGUCAUAAAGAUGAGCUCCCCAAGGACCAGUGGCAGCAGGAUUAACACUCUGCUCAACAUUCUUGGAGAGGUCUAUUUUGAGAGCAUCUUCAUACUUGAUUACUCCGGAAGCCUCAAAGUAAAGAGAGUAAUUGGUCAGGGUAAGCCUGCCUGCCAAUUAAAACCAAAGCAACAUUUACAUUUUUUAUGAAUGCUUUUUACAAAUUCCAGAACAUUAUUAAAUGAAUGAUUAGAUAGAGCAAGCAGCUGACCAGGCCAACUUGUUGUUCCAAUGUGGCGAACUACUCUCUGACUCACGACUGUUCCAUCUACAUGUAAUAUAUAUUCAUCCUCAGCCAGUUCCACCCCAUUUGGUUUUGCCUGUUUCUGCAAAUGCCGUAUGCACCUAUGGAAUCAUGAAUUUAAAAAUGAAUCAUAACAAGAACUUGAACUUAUAAUGCACAACUAACUUCUGCUUUUAUGUGUCUUCUUCCUAAUAUGCUACUCUAACUUUCUCAUUUCUACUCAGUAGACUCAAACUCAUUCUUAACAAUUUGGAUAAUUCAUAUCUUGCAUAUCUUAUAUGUUCACCUAUCAAAUAAUCUAAUAUAGCUAUCAAGUUCUAAAUCAGAGAUAUUGAUAAACAGUAUUCCAAACGAAGCCUAAAAGGCAUCAGAUGAUUUUCCUAGCUAUUAUACUAAUGGACUCCAAAUGCUUGCAAAUGGACCAGGAAAAAAUAAAUUCAUAAGAUCAAUGCAUUACUUUUUCAUUUCUUUCAAGAACUUGUCGUAUGCUGGAAAAUGUAGCCUGUAGCCUGUCGAUGCUGUUAGAGUUUCAAAAGUAAACCUUCCAUUUGCUACAUCUGCAACUAAUGGUACUAAGGAUCCCAACCAUACAAAUGCAUCUUCUCCAACAUUGGGCUCAUCAUUAACCUGGCCAAUGGUUUAUGAAUUAUGAUACGAAAACAAAAUUUACCAAGAGAUCACUUCAUUUGAAAAUAUCUAAACUCCUAAAACCAUAAAUAUUUUGUUUACUUCUAUCAAAUUGGCUUGGUUCAAAUGCAAGAAAUAUUAUCCAUUCUUUUUAUAUAGACUAUUCAUAAACUAAUUUCAGUUUCAUUCAUUUAGAGGACAAGACCUGCAGAAGGCUGGAAUUCAAACUGAUUCUUCAAACAAAGGUAGGGUGGGGGUGAAGCUUAUAAAUCCACCAUCUCUAUGAUAAGUACAAGGAGAAAGGAUGGUCUUACAAGGAGGGGCAUGAUGUCUGAAUAGAAGAGAGGGAUAUCAUCCUGUUCUUCAGUGGUAUUCUUAGUUAUCUUCUUUUCUUCUUUCGUUUCUUCUUUCGUUUCUUCUUUCUCCUUUGCUAUUGACUCCUGCAAACCUCAAAAGCCUCAUCGGAUUAAUAGCAUGAGUAGAAACAAAAACAAUAACCUUAGUUCAGAUCAAACAGGACAUAUCCUAGGCCAUCAAUGACCCAUAAUUUGAAGCCCUACUUUAGUUAGUAAAUGUAAAAUCACAUGUCUUAUAUCAAGAGAAUUUGGUAAAUACAAAUACAUUCUGGAACUGAUAUCCAAACUUUCAUUACUAAGAUACCUGAAGCAUAAAACCAGUCAACCACUGCAAUAUAAUCUCGGUCCCUAAUAAAACUUAUCAAAUAUCUAAAAUUUUUCCAUUUUAAUAGCUUAUGUUAGUUUAGUGUUUACAUUAUAACAAAACACAGUAAAAAAAAACUAUUCUGUAAGCAUUAUUCCUUUAAUUAAAGAUGAGUAUCGCUGAAAUGAAAAGCCAAUUUUUAUCUUGGUUGGAAUUGGUAUUACCGUAUGCUCUUCUUCCAAGGAGCUAGGUCUCUCCCAGGCAAGCAUCAUGUCAUAUGUCAACCUGCUAAAUGAGCCAUCAUUGAUGUUUCCCUCUAUGUUGUGGCGCAUUUCAUUCACAGCCUUCCCACUGCAAAAUUCAACUAAUUUUAUGCAGUAGUCUCCCAUUUCAGGUUUCCAUCCUCCUUCAAAAUCUUCCACCAAAGUCUCUACCGAAGUAUCCAAUUUCCUAAGUACCAAAAAGGAAAAAUAGUUAGCAUUUCAUGAUGACAUUUUUUUUGGUAACCAUGGCACCGUCGAGAACUUGCCUGUGACUGCACUUAUGAUUUAUUUCAAAACACAAUGUCUAAUCAUUGUUGAAAUCAAUAAUUUACACUGUUAGAGAUCUGCCUGUACUAAAUGUGAAAAUGUGGAUAUAGGUUCAUAAGUAGUAUGAUUCUGGACCACGGUAAUACAAAAUGGUAGUAACCAAUCUUGGUGACAUUUCAUGAUGAUCUACCACAAAACUAGAACAUGGAAUUAACACUUUAUCAAGAUAUUUCCAAUCUCUAGGAAAACAACUACACAACAUGGAGAAAGUAAAAGAACAAAAUACAACUCCUCUUUCUCAAAAGAAAUAACACAUUACAUAGUUGUCCUGUGAUUCUAACAACCUCGUAUAAGAUUAUUACUAUGAUUAGCAAAUAGUAUGUAGGAGGGUGUAGGAGUAGAGAGAGAUUACUGUGCACAUCUAUGGAUGACGUCCUCCGCAAUGGAAGACACAUACUUGAGUUUCAUAGCCAUAACCUGUGUCGGGGUUUUUCCUUCUAAAGUUCUCUUCUCUUCUCUCUCUCUAACUCUUUCAGUGUGUAAAAUAAGGUGAAUGCAAAGAGGCACCGAAAAUCUAAAGGUUUGAUCUAAUAGUAAUAGAAAAGAGGGUGAUUCGUGGACAUGUUCAUCAUUUGCCACGUUGCAAUGACCAUGCAACGCAAGCAUGCAACACUUGGUUCUUCUUCUGCGUCAUUAUCCAUCUUCGUUCUCGUGUAGCGGUGCUACGCAAAAGAGAAGAGAUUCAUAAGAUGAUAGAGAUAAAGAAAGCUUUUGAACGUUUUUCGUAUAUCUAGAUGGAAAAACAAUUAAGGUUUAUUUCAAAACAAAACAUAAAUGAUGCAAGCAACUCGAAAUUUCAAGAACUUUAAUUUUCUUAAUUUCAAUGAUUAAUAAGAACUGGAUUAUUACAAUAUUUUCUUAAAGCACAUGCAUCAAAGUUGUUUAUGAGGUAUUUUAAACUAGUUAUGAUUUUGUUUUACUGUAAGGACGAUAAACAUGACAAAUUUUAUAUACGAACAAAUUUAUUUUAUUUUUACAAAAAGAAAAAAAAACACUACAAGAAAUUUGAUUUUAAAAACUAAUUUACUGAUACCUAAAAAUGAUAAGAUAAUAAAAUUAAUCAGUAUUUUAAUUAAAGACUAAUUAAAAAUAUAUCAGUAAGUGACUAAAAUAUUGAGAUCUAAAGUUAGAUUCUGAUUCAGUCCCUGAAUUAUUUUGUACCACAUCUUCUAGAAAUAUAUUUAAAAUUGAUAAAAAAAUUCUAUUUAUUUUUAAAAUUUAACCUUUAGUAAGUAUUUUAAUUUUAAUUUCCGUUUAUAAAUAAAAUAUUCAAAUAACUUUGAGGCAAUGGUAUGUGAUCCAUUUUUAUUUUGAGGACAUAAUAAUAUCUUUAUUAAAUAUUUAAUUUUAAAAAAUAGAUCUUUAGAUAAAAAUUGGUUAUAUAUUAAAAAUUUAAAAUAUAUUUAAGCUUCAACAAACUAAUUCAAUGUAAUAAAACUCUGAAAAAAGAAUUAAAGACAAAAAAAAUAAUAAAUAAAAAAUUUAACAAAAUAAAUAUAUACACUAAUUUUUUAAUUAGUUAGAUUCAAAAAUUAGUUAGACUUUGAAUUUAAUCAUAUGAUAAAAAUUAACAUUUCAAAUCUAUUCCUAGCAUUCAAAUAUAUUAAGCAUUAUUAUUUGGGUUAGAAACAUAGAAGUACUUUCCAGUCAAAUCUAAGGAUCUAGAUCAAAGAAACGAACAUUACAAACAAAAUGACAAUACCAAUCAUCAAUCAAAAACAUAAUAUUAUAUAUAAAUAUCACCUUAAUGUAUAAGAGUUUGAACAAAUUACUCUUAAUCCCAAAGGGUAGAAUUAGUCAUUCAAGUUGCCUAUUAGAAGUAGGGGGAGUAAGAAAAGAAGAUCCUGGAUGUUUCUCCUUAACGACUACGUCCUCUAGGUUUUCUAACACCUUUUAUUCUCCCAAUUGGAUUCCAAUCCACUCAAUGAUCUUCAGGGUUGUACCUCAAGCCUCAUAUUUAACCUAGUUGGGCUUGGGCUAAGUGACUUCUCGCUAGGGCGUUAUUGGGCUCGCUUGGGUGAGUUGUCGAAAAAAGGUCCAACGUCACUAGAGUGAUCUCGCCUGGGCGAGAUUGGACUCGCUUGGACGAGAUCCUAUGAGAGGUUCUAGCUUGGGCAAGUUUGGACGAGCUUGGGUGAGAGCUGGUGUGUUCUAGCUUCCCCUUUUUAGCUUUGUAUAUUUCUCCUUUUGCCCUUUCAUCUUCAUUCUUCUCUAAAAUCCUGAAAUUAACACAAAUUUGGGAAUAAAUCGUUCUAAUUCAAAUUAUAAACAAAAAAUAUAUAAAAAUGUAUAAAUUCAUAAAUUAGGGGUUAUAUUAUGGUUAUUUUAUCAAUUAAUAUCCAUAAGUGCCUGUAUUUUAAUAUGAAGUAUUACUUAAAUCUGGUACUUAUCAACUCCACUCAACUUAGAAUCUUGCUUGACUUCAAACAAAGUAAAUGAAUAUAUUUGAAUUUUUACCGACCAGUCCUCGGACUUGGGCGUUGACCAAAGUCAUGGUGGGGCCCCGAAGGCUGGGUCCACUAGGAGCCUGGCAGGACAGGACAGAGUCUCAGUAAGCUCACGGAUAAGGGCAACCGAGGAGGGGGCGGCAUCAAGGUAAGGCGUGGAGGCUUCGGGCCUCGGUAACCCAAAAGUAAAGAUGGACAGAGGAAGGUGGUUUCCAAGCCACACUCCAGUUAUUAGUAAGGGAGAGACCUAGAUCACCAAGCGCCCAUGCAUGGGGUGUGGACGACACGGUGGGGUGUGCCACAAUCAAAGAGCCACUGGGAAAGAGACGACUCGUAAGGGUCACGUCCCAGGGGUGAUCUGCAUGCAUGGCACGUGAAUAAGGCAGGGAACUCCCAAAGCGGCUGACCCAGAGAUUGGGGGCAUGAGUUGGCACUCAAGUGGUCAUCCUGCGCCAGUUGCACUUCGGUAAGGGAGUCUUAACACUAAGGAUGAAACGGUGAUGGUUCACGCAUUCAGAAAGGGGAUUUGUCCAGGGCCUUUCAGUGAAUCACUCAUCAGGAGUCGCCCCAAAACCUUUGCUGAGAUAAGGCGUCGAGCGGUGGCUCACAUUGCAGCAGAAGGGGAGAUGAAUGAGAAGCACGCAUGUGUUGUUCCCACGCGCUUGCGAGCACCGGUGCGUGCGCAACCUAUGAGAGUGCAUGAGGUUGCAACAAAGAAGAGAGCCCCCACGAAGAAGCAGCCUUACGAGCCUAGGAAGCCUCAGACUAGGGGGCGCGCAAGAGAGAAUAAGCCUGUAAGGCAUAGUUUCGUGGUAGAGGUGAAGGAUUUGAUCGCUGUGCCCAACAUAGCAGAGAGGUUGAAGAUGCCGCCCAAGACUGACAAGAAGCUGGGACCUCACAAGGAGGCUUGGUGUGAGUUUCACCAGGCGUUUGGUCAUCCCAUACGCAACUACUUGGCAUUGGGACACCAGUUGGACGAGCUGGUGAAGAGUGGGUUCCUAAACGAAAACCUGGCGAAGCCGCAAAGGGCUGAGACAUCAGUAACGUCAGGUGAGGACCAAGGGCACGAGAUGCCCGUACAUGGAGAGAUCCACACCAUCUCGGGGGUUUCUCAGGUGGAGGGUGCACUGCUUCUUAGUGCAUGAGGUAUGCACGAUCGGUUAUGUCAGUAGAGGCGCAAGCGGUGAAUGAGGUGCUCGACGUCGACCUUACGUUCACGAAGGCCGAUCUUCGAGACGUUGUCCCUCAUGACAACGACCCUGUGGUGAUUUCUGUUGUAACCGCGGGAGGAAGGUGCACCGAGUGCUAGUAGACCAAGGUAGCUUGACGGAUGUCAUGUUUUGGUCCACCUCUAACAAGCUGCAGCUGUCUCCCGACCAGUUCAGACCUUAUUGUUAGAAAAAAUGGCUUUAAACUAGAGGGGGGGGGUGAAUGGUUUAAAGGGGUUUUCGCAAACUUUUCAAAGCGAGAAUGAACUUAUUUCAGAAACCAAUUGAUUCAGCAAUUUAGUUAGCCAAAACAGCAAGCAAAACUGUAAUACUAGGAAAAGCAAUCGGUUGUUUCUUCGAAACAAUCGGUUGUUUAUACCAGCAAACAACAAACAAACUGAAUUUAAAGAGUUAAGGAUACAGAGAUUGUACACAGUUGUUUAUACUGCUUCACUCCAAACCAGAGCUACAUCCAGUCUUCUCAGAAACCCUGAGGAUAUCCACUAAGCAAUCACCACUUGAUCACUUACACCACAACCAAGAGAAUGAUCUUGAACACCUCAAGAAACACACUUUCCUUGGCCAACACUAAGAUUGCUGAUCUUGAACACCUCAAGAACACACAGCAAAUCUCAGCAACACACACAAACAAAUUGUUCAGCAGUUUACAAAGAUUACAUUUGUUACAGAUGAAUAUCUGAAAUCAAUACAAGUAAAAUCCUUAUACAACACCUUGAUCAAUCUCUCAACUCUUUAGCAAUCUCAGAAUAUUUUGAAAAACUCUUAGAUGAAAAACUUUGUUUCAAGAUUCUUAAUAUAUCAAAACUGUUUUUUAGAAUAUAUAUAUAAGAAUAUAGUUUGUUAUCUGAUCCUGCCUGUUGACUGGAACGCUGGAAACUGCCUCGUCAAAGGAUCGACGUGUGCACCGCUUCGAACCUCCGUUCCUCUUCGAGAUCUACCUCAAGAACCUGCAAAGAAACAGAGCGGCGCCGCUGCGGCCGAUCGCACUCCAACGCCCAAGUCAGUGACGGUAUCACCAAAUACUAAGAGAACAAGAACCGUGCAAAUCCUCUCUCACAGUAAGCUCUAUAACUCGCAAGCGUAAAGAGUAUAAUCUAAACGUGCGUACCUCAGAAAGUUCGUUAAGAACUCUUAUAUACCUGGUAACUUUCUCUCUCCUGGCAGUUACAGACUUGGACACGUGGCUCGCAUCCAACUGUACACGUGCCAUCAUCUGGAGGCUCCUUGACUUGGGCGCUGCUUCUACUCUCAUUUUGGCUAAGUUACUUAUGCAUGGUACUGCCCAAUGCAUAGCUAACUUGGGAGUGCGAUCUCUACUGGAACUGGCGAGUUAGGGGCCUUCAUACACCUUCCCUGUGGUCUCGCCGGCCGCCUUCAUAAUCUGCUUCUCCUUCAUCUUUGGCGAUGUGCUUGCUCUGGCGAUCUCCAAUAACUAGGUCGCCUGAAUCUACAUCUGGCGACUUCAUCUUUAACCCGGUGAUCGCCGAUUCUAAUAAGCUGGAGAUCGGAACACGCCAACUUAACAACUGGCGACUACGCGAGCCCCCCGACUUCCUUCCCUUCUGCCAACCUGGCGCCUUGUCAACACGCCUAUACUGUAGCUGGAUGCGACGUCAUCACUUCCGACUUCCAGGGCGGUACACAAGCCCCCCAGUCUUAAGCGAAGACUUGUCUAGCGAAAAGACUGAAAGAGUCACGUCAACACCGGUCUACGUGGCACUGACGCAGAAUUCCAAGCGGUUAUACCUUCUGCUGCUCUGACGCUCCACCAAACCCCUCACUCAUCGCUCGACACGUGGCUUCAUCAACGGCUCUCUUCAUUUGCCGUUUGCGCUUCCUAAACCCAUUUCGAAAAAACUCUUAAACCCAUUUUUACUUCACACUGUUCCAUCACUUUCUUCGUGCUUGCAAACGCUCUAACUUCCUUCUGCGAAAACUCUCAACGCUCUCCAACAUUCCGAAUCACCAUCAACCUUCAACGUCUUCCUGAUCAUAAAAAGGUACCUACUUUCCUUCAUCUGCUAGUUUUUCUUGCAUUUCCACCGAUUCGCAUCAUCCUGUAACUGCCUGGUGCAUACGCUGUGGGUUCCUUUUUCCAUUUUUCCUUCUACGUAACUUAGGGCUUCGUCAAUCAUCACAACGAACUUGCGUUCGUUCGUUUUUCCCCUUCCUGUUAUGAUCGAGUCAGCCUCUGUAACCCCUGAUCAUUUUUCCUUUUCUUCUUCCUUUGCAGCUGCAACAAUGACUCGUACAAAGAUCACCCCGAAUCCUCCCCCUUCGCAACGAAACCCCCCUUCACAAGCACACGACCCACCACAAGCUCGUGGCGCUUCAUCCUCGCAGGCUGAGAGGCCUGCGUCUUCCCGUCCUAAUCUGGCCCGGGCGACUCCACCCAUCGCCGGAGGAGCCUCUGCUCCCUUGCCAGACUUCAAAACCUUGUAUCCCUGGGCCAACUCGACCCUUCUAAGGGAGACAUCUUCGGUGAAUACUGCGGGAGCAGUUUUGCGGCUGACCAAGGGGGAUGAGCCUUAUCAAUCGUUUCAUAAGGAGCACGACGAAAAGAUGAUAGUGCUACCCUGCCCCCCCGAGCUGCCUGUUUGCGCUGAUGAGAAGGUGAGUGCCGACGGGCCCUUCUGUUUCGUCUACACAACCUUAUUCAAGAAGGUGAAGCUCAAGUUCCCUUUCACCCGUUUCGAAAGGGAGCUCCUAACCGAGCUCAACAUUGCCGCCGCCCAGCUCCAUCCCAACAGCUGGGCGUUUGUGCGAGCGUUCGAAGUGAUGUGCGCCCAUCUGGGGUUGCCCGCAUCGGUGGACGUGUUUUUAUUCCUCUUUGAAGCCAAGCACCCGGGAGACCGCCUAUGGGUUAGCUUGAACGUGAUCGCUGGGAGGUCCAUCUUUGCUAUCUUCCAGCAAUCGUAUAAAGAUUGGAAAGGGAAGUUCGUCCAAGUGCGCGCCAACGACAAGGACGAAUCCCUACUCGACGGCUUCCCCUUAUACUGGGUGGAUAAGGGGAAGAAAGAAUCCAAGAGCUGCUUCAGGAGACCCAGAAGUCCUGAUAGCAUGGGGGCGUUGGACAGAGAUCUCUGUCUCUUCUGGAAGAGGGUGGCGGAUGCCAACAUCACUUUCCUUACCACCACCUUGAUCUGCUUCGAAUUCUACGAAGACCAGCUAGAAAUUCGAAUAGGUUAGAACAUUAAAAACUGUUGUUUUAAUACUGCUUCUGUUUAGCUGUUUCUGGGUGUCUUGCGCGUUAUGCGCAAGACUUUGAUUUUAUCUUUCCUGCACAUACCAUCUGCUUUGCUGUUUUACUACCUUAUGCAUUUGUUUUUUCCCUGAGUUAACCCAUGCACUUUCGCUCCAUGCAGACGACAUGUUGGGCAAAGGCAUGCUCGCUGAACUGAAGGCGCUCGCCCGAAACCAUGGAUUGGCGACGGGCUCGCAAACAGUGCCCAACUCGGUGGUGGAGAAGGCUAUCGUCCACGGGCGAUCACCACCUAAGGAACCCACCCAACGCAAAAAACUGGUUCUUAAAAGGCCUAAAAGGAAAGCCCCUCAAGUCAUCCACGAGGAGGAAGAAGAAGAUGACGAGGUCACCGAGGACGACCUCGUUACAAAGAGGAAAAGGGUGGCAUCUUCCUCGCCGCCUGCACCACCCCCUCUUCCAACCUCAACACCACCAUCGACGCCUGCUCCUCCCCCAUCAUCGCCGCCCCCACAGGCUCCUGCCUCACCAGUCCAAGCAAUCCCACUGGCCACUGUGCCACCUGCAGUGGAGGCCCAAGAGCCAAACUUCAUGGAGGACCCCCCGAGCGCCUCCACGCCAUACGCAUCAGCUGGAGGGGGUCCUCCUUCAAACGCCUCAGCUGCAGAAAUUGAACCAAUCGGGGAUGAGGUUGCCCAUACUUCACCGAUUCUGAUCACCGAAUCCCCGAUUCCGUCGCCACGCCAACAAGCGCCUACUGAAGAACCUGCUAAGGAAGGUGGCGAUGAGAACCAACAACAGGCUCCCCUGGUGCCUCUCCAAGCAGCAAACCUUCCUUUGGAGGUCACAAGGAUGUGGGAGCCUCUAUCUGCUAAGCUGAAGACCAUAGCAGAAGACAUCCCGGCGAUCAUAACCAGAGCUGUGGAGAGCUCCACCAGGAGGCUUCAAGACGAUCUCUUCAACCUCAAAACUGAAAACAGCACUAUGAAGGUCGAGGUGGAGAAAUUGUCUUUCAACCUGACACUCGCGGAGAUUGAACACUCCCGAGUAGAAGACGCGAUGAGCACCGAGCUCAGAUUGGCACGCAAAGAGGCCACUGAUCUCUGCCAUAAGGUGCAUCAGCUUGCCCAAGAGAAGGUCGAACUGGAGAGCAAGAUUGUGCCCCUUCGCGCCAGGGCGGUUGACCUGGAGGCUCUCAUGAAAGCUGAAGCUGCUAAGGUGCAAAAACUGGAGCAGAGGUCGAUCGACCGGGAGAAAUUUCUUGGGCAAGUGGAAAAGGCGAGGGACGACGCCAUAGCUGAUCUUGCCGAGGCCAACAAAGAGAAAGGAAAGGCAGUCGCUGAACUAGCCCAAGCGCAAGCGGAAACCAAGAAGGUUACUGAAGACCUUCUCCAGGCUCAAGAGACCAACGAACAACUCAAAAAACAGGUUGAAGAGCUGGAGCAACAGAAUAAAGAGUUGAAAGAGCAAACUGAAGACCUCAAGAAGCGGAUUGAGGAACUUCAGGAGCAAAUUGAAGAACUCAAGCUAAACUCUGCUCAAAUUCUGGCUGCUGGGUUUGAAGCUGCGCGGGAACAAUUUGCUUGCCUAUUCCCCGACCUGGAUCUCAGCAUGGUGUCGCUGAACAAUGAAGUAGUAGAUGGAAAAGUCGUUCCUGCUGAAGACUAAUCAACUCUUCUUCAUCUACUACCUUCGUGUUUUCCCUUGUAUUAUUCUGUAAUAAACUCGUGUAUAUGUGCCUUUAACAGAUACUUAUCUUAAUGACAAAGUUUGGGUAUCCCCUCUCCUGACUUCUUCAAGCGCUUUAACCUUCUUUGCAUGUUUAACUUUAUCGGAUUUAACUUAACGAUUUUGUAAACACGGCUUUGACUUAACUGCUUCGAACCACUUCAAACUUAAGCAACAAUCACUUUAAUCAACUUGUAAUCUUAAGGCAACUAACCUUAACGUAAGGAACAGCCUUCAAGCAACAGACUUUAAAUCAGCUACUGGCUUAAACACUGCUUCACGCAAUCUGCUCCAUCGAAACGGGUCUUUUAACGUUCUCGCCGAUGUUUGAACCUUUCCUGGUCGCCAGAGACUCUCGGCGAUCAGCUUCUUUCUGGCUUCACGCCUUGGCCAUUGUUUCUUUAUCUAGGGGUAGAAACGCCUUUUGGGAUCCUUCUUUACCUCCCUGAACUUCAGAGCGAAAGACCGGGUGACUAGGCGUUCUCUUCGAACCUACCUUAGCCACCUUCCAAACUUCUUCCACCCUCUGCACCAUACCUGAACUCGUUCAAGACGAGAAGGAUUUUAUCUUGCCCAAGCUCGCAUGUAGGCGAGAAGGUCUUUGAACUCGCCUGAACUCGCUCAUCGGCGAGAAGGUCUUUAACUCGCCUGAACUCGCUCAUCGGCGAGAAGGUCUUUAACGUGCCUGAACUCGCUCAUCGGCGAGAAGGUCUUUAAACUCGCCUCUACGUUGCCCCAGGGGUUACAUCUUCUCGCCCCCAGAAACACGGAGGACUUUUUACUGGUGCCUCUACAUUGCCCCAGGAGUUACAUCUCCUCGCCUCCAGAAACACGGAGGACUUUUUCUCUUUCUCGCCUGCACUCGCUCGACGGCGAGGAGGUCUUUAUCUUGCCUCUACAUUGCCCCAGGGGUUACAUCUUCUCACCCCCAGAAACACGGAGGACUUUUUCUCUUUCUCGCCUGCACUCGCUCGACGGCGAGGAGGUCUUUAUCUUGCCUCUACAUUGCCCCAGGGGUUACAUCUUCUCGCCCCCAGAAACACGGAGGACUUUUUCUCUUUCUCGCCUGCACUCGCUCAACGGCGAGGAGGUCUUUAUCUUGCCUCUACAUUGCCCCAGGGGUUACAUCUUCUCGCCCCCAGAAACACGGGGGACUUUUGCUUGCCUCAGGACGCGCGAGGGCGUUGAGGUCUUUUAACUGGUGCCUCCGAUCGCCGAAAAACGAUGAGGACUUUAAAAACUUUAACUGAUGCCUCCAAUCAUCGAAAAACGAUGAGGACUUAAAAACUUUAACUGAUGCCUCCAAUCGCCGAAAAACGAUGAGGACUUAAAAACUUUAACUGAUGCCUCCCAUCGCCGAAAAACGAUGAGGACUUAAAACUUUAACUGCUGCCUCCAAUCGCCNNNNNNNNNNNNNNNNNNNNNNNNNNNNNNNNNNNNNNNNNNNNNNNNNNNNNNNNNNNNNNNNNNNNNNNNNNNNNNNNNNNNNNNNNNNNNNNNNNNNNNNNNNNNNNNNNNNNNNNNNNNNNNNNNNNNNNNNNNNNNNNNNNNNNNNNNNNNNNNNNNNNNNNNNNNNNNNNNNNNNNNNNNNNNNNNNNNNNNNNNNNNNNNNNNNNNNNNNNNNNNNNNNNNNNNNNNNNNNNNNNNNNNNNNNNNNNNNNNNNNNNNNNNNNNNNNNNNNNNNNNNNNNNNNNNNNNNNNNNNNNNNNNNNNNNNNNNNNNNNNNNNNNNNNNNNNNNNNNNNNNNNNNNNNNNNNNNNNNNNNNNNNNNNNNNNNNNNNNNNNNNNNNNNNNNNNNNNNNNNNNNNNNNNNNNNNNNNNNNNNNNNNNNNNNNNNNNNNNNNNNNNNNNNNNNNNNNNNNNNNNNNNNNNNNNNNNNNNNNNNNNNNNNNNNNNNNNNNNNNNNNNNNNNNNNNNNNNNNNNNNNNNNNNNNNNNNNNNNNNNNNNNNNNNNNNNNNNNNNNNNNNNNNNNNNNNNNNNNNNNNNNNNNNNNNNNNNNNNNNNNNNNNNNNNNNNNNNNNNNNNNNNNNNNNNNNNNNNNNNNNNNNNNNNNNNNNNNNNNNNNNNNNNNNNNNNNNNNNNNNNNNNNNNNNNNNNNNNNNNNNNNNNNNNNNNNNNNNNNNNNNNNNNNNNNNNNNNNNNNNNNNNNNNNNNNNNNNNNNNNNNNNNNNNNNNNNNNNNNNNNNNNNNNNNNNNNNNNNNNNNNNNNNNNNNNNNNNNNNNNNNNNNNNNNNNNNNNNNNNNNNNNNNNNNNNNNNNNNNNNNNNNNNNNNNNNNNNNNNNNNNNNNNNNNNNNNNNNNNNNNNNNNNNNNNNNNNNNNNNNNNNNNNNNNNNNNNNNNNNNNNNNNNNNNNNNNNNNNNNNNNNNNNNNNNNNNNNNNNNNNNNNNNNNNNNNNNNNNNNNNNNNNNNNNNNNNNNNNNNNNNNNNNNNNNNNNNNNNNNNNNNNNNNNNNNNNNNNNNNNNNNNNNNNNNNNNNNNNNNNNNNNNNNNNNNNNNNNNNNNNNNNNNNNNNNNNNNNNNNNNNNNNNNNNNNNNNNNNNNNNNNNNNNNNNNNNNNNNNNNNNNNNNNNNNNNNNNNNNNNNNNNNNNNNNNNNNNNNNNNNNNNNNNNNNNNNNNNNNNNNNNNNNNNNNNNNNNNNNNNNNNNNNNNNNNNNNNNNNNNNNNNNNNNNNNNNNNNNNNNNNNNNNNNNNNNNNNNNNNNNNNNNNNNNNNNNNNNNNNNNNNNNNNNNNNNNNNNNNNNNNNNNNNNNNNNNNNNNNNNNNNNNNNNNNNNNNNNNNNNNNNNNNNNNNNNNNNNNNNNNNNNNNNNNNNNNNNNNNNNNNNNNNNNNNNNNNNNNNNNNNNNNNNNNNNNNNNNNNNNNNNNNNNNNNNNNNNNNNNNNNNNNNNNNNNNNNNNNNNNNNNNNNNNNNNNNNNNNNNNNNNNNNNNNNNNNNNNNNNNNNNNNNNNNNNNNNNNNNNNNNNNNNNNNNNNNNNNNNNNNNNNNNNNNNNNNNNNNNNNNNNNNNNNNNNNNNNNNNNNNNNNNNNNNNNNNNNNNNNNNNNNNNNNNNNNNNNNNNNNNNNNNNNNNNNNNNNNNNNNNNNNNNNNNNNNNNNNNNNNNNNNNNNNNNNNNNNNNNNNNNNNNNNNNNNNNNNNNNNNNNNNNNNNNNNNNNNNNNNNNNNNNNNNNNNNNNNNNNNNNNNNNNNNNNNNNNNNNNNNNNNNNNNNNNNNNNNNNNNNNNNNNNNNNNNNNNNNNNNNNNNNNNNNNNNNNNNNNNNNNNNNNNNNNNNNNNNNNNNNNNNNNNNNNNNNNNNNNNNNNNNNNNNNNNNNNNNNNNNNNNNNNNNNNNNNNNNNNNNNNNNNNNNNNNNNNNNNNNNNNNNNNNNNNNNNNNNNNNNNNNNNNNNNNNNNNNNNNNNNNNNNNNNNNNNNNNNNNNNNNNNNNNNNNNNNNNNNNNNNNNNNNNNNNNNNNNNNNNNNNNNNNNNNNNNNNNNNNNNNNNNNNNNNNNNNNNNNNNNNNNNNNNNNNNNNNNNNNNNNNNNNNNNNNNNNNNNNNNNNNNNNNNNNNNNNNNNNNNNNNNNNNNNNNNNNNNNNNNNNNNNNNNNNNNNNNNNNNNNNNNNNNNNNNNNNNNNNNNNNNNNNNNNNNNNNNNNNNNNNNNNNNNNNNNNNNNNNNNNNNNNNNNNNNNNNNNNNNNNNNNNNNNNNNNNNNNNNNNNNNNNNNNNNNNNNNNNNNNNNNNNNNNNNNNNNNNNNNNNNNNNNNNNNNNNNNNNNNNNNNNNNNNNNNNNNNNNNNNNNNNNNNNNNNNNNNNNNNNNNNNNNNNNNNNNNNNNNNNNNNNNNNNNNNNNNNNNNNNNNNNNNNNNNNNNNNNNNNNNNNNNNNNNNNNNNNNNNNNNNNNNNNNNNNNNNNNNNNNNNNNNNNNNNNNNNNNNNNNNNNNNNNNNNNNNNNNNNNNNNNNNNNNNNNNNNNNNNNNNNNNNNNNNNNNNNNNNNNNNNNNNNNNNNNNNNNNNNNNNNNNNNNNNNNNNNNNNNNNNNNNNNNNNNNNNNNNNNNNNNNNNNNNNNNNNNNNNNNNNNNNNNNNNNNNNNNNNNNNNNNNNNNNNNNNNNNNNNNNNNNNNNNNNNNNNNNNNNNNNNNNNNNNNNNNNNNNNNNNNNNNNNNNNNCCUAUGGUGUGGAUCUCCCCGUGGAUAGGCAUCUCGUGUUGCUGGGCUUCUCCACCUGCUGACUGGGAACUCGACGCUCCCCCCGUCCUCCUGUCCAGCAGAUAGUCAUUCAGGAACCCGCUCUUAACCAGAUCGUCGAGCUGAUAUCCCAAGGACAGACACGAGUCCAAAGUGUGGCCAAAGCCUUGGUGAAACUCGCACCAGGCAUCUGGCUUUGACCCCAGCACCUUGUCGCCCACCUUCUCAGGCGCUUUCAGCCUAGCAGAUUGUUAGGAAUGGCGAUCAGAUCCGCCAGUCCCAUGACAAACUUGUGCUUAGGCGGGCGAUUGUAUUCCCGGCGUACUGGUUGCUGGCGUGCUUGGCUCCUUCCCUUAUUCCUCCUAUCGUAAGGAUGGCGAGUCCUCUGGUCCUUCCUGGCCGCCACCGCUGUCUCCAGCACCCUCUGCGGCUGGGUCCUGGUCUGGGCGCGUGGCCUAGCGGGAGCCACGCUUCCUCUCUUCUCGGCGACUUCACUCUCGUCGGCGAUGUGAGCCACCGCAAGUCACCUGACUUCAGCAAACGUCGCAGGGUGAGCCCUGAUCAAGGCCUCACAAAAUGGUCCCGACAGCACGCCCUUCUUGAAUGCAUAAACCAGCAUUUCUUCAUCUUUAGCCGGCGAUCUGACCAUAUGCGCUCCAAAGCGAUUCAGGUAGUCUCUGAGGGACUCUCCCUGGUACUGCCUUAUAUCAAACAGGUCAUAAGACACCCUGGGCGGUGCCUUAUUCACGAUGUACUGCUCGCAAAAAUCUUCGAGAACUGUUGAAAGUUGGUUAUGUGGCCGUUAGGCAGGCUCACAAACCACUCCAACGCCGUUCCUUGGAGCGUACUCACNNNNNNNNNNNNNNNNNNNNNNNNNNNNNNNNNNNNNNNNNNNNNNNNNNNNNNNNNNNNNNNNNNNNNNNNNNNNNNNNNNNNNNNNNNNNNNNNNNNNGCCAGAUACUCCUUCAGCUUGACGAAAGUUUCCUCGCACUCUUUUGUCCAAACGAACUUAUUAUUGCGCGGCAGACACUGAAAAUAGGGAAUGCCCUUUUUUCCGUUAGCGAACACGAAGCGAGAUAGGGCUGCCAUCCGACCUGUUAGCUGCUGGACUUCUUUCACCGUGGCUGGGCUCCUCAUCGCCAAGAUGGCGGCACACUUGUCUGGGUUGGCUUCAAUUCCUCUUUCAGUCAAGAGGAAACCCAAAAACUUUCCAGCCUCCACGCCGAAAAUGCAUUUCUCCGGAUUGAGCUUUAACUUGAACUUGGCGAUCGUCGUGAACAAUUCUUCCAAGUCUGCAACGUGCUUGUUUUUUUCCUGCGAGGUCACGACCAUGUCAUCGACGUAAGCUUGCACGUUCCUUCCCAGCAUUGGUGCAAGUACUCGAUCCAUCAGCCUCUGGGUACGUGGCCCCCGCGUUCUUCAGCCCAAACGGCAUCACCUUAUAGCAGUAGCACGACCUCUCCGUCAUGAAGGCUGUUUUCUCUUCAUCCAUGGGAUGCAUCGUGAUCUGAUUAUAUCCUGAGAAGGCAUCCAGGAAACUCAGCAACUUACACCCUGCAGCACUAUCAACCAGGGCAUCUAUGCUUGGUAAAGAUUACGAAUCCUUUGGGCAAGCUUUGUUCAGGUCGGUGAAGUCGACGCACAUGCGCCAUUUCCCGUUACUCUUCUUCACCAGCACGACAUUUGCCAACCAUUCAGGGUACUGGACUUCCCUGAUGUGGCCUGCAGCGAGGAGUUUUUGUGUUUCAUCUCUAAUCGCCUGCCUCCUCUCCUCGUUGAACUUUCUUCUUCUCUGUCGCACCGGUCUCACCAAAUUGUCCAUCGCCAGAUGAUGGCACAAGAAGUCGGGAUCAAUCCCGGGCAUGUCCGAAGCGGACCAUGCAAACGCGUCCAGAUGCCUCUCAAUCACCUUGGCGAUCUGGUCCUGGAGCUCGACAUCCAGGGAUCUUCCCAGCUUGAAGAUCUUUCCUCCGAUCUCCUUUUCGAGCCACUGCUCGACAGGUUUUGGCCUGGAUUCUCUGGCGAUCACCGCCCUGGCGAUUCCCUGCUCCCUUGCUUCCUCAGGGCGAUUCCACGCCUCUUCCUCCUCCAGACCAGCAUUCCUCUCGCCCAGCUCAGCGUCCACCAUCUCCACAUCUCUUCCGGCGGCCUCCUCUGUUACCGUCGAUCUGGGCUUCACACCGGGAGGUGGGGUGGUUGUUACAUAACUCACUGAUCUUUUGUUUUUCAGGCUAUUCUCAUAGCACCUUUUCGCUUAUUUCUGAUCAGACUUGAUCGUGAUCACCACCCCUUCCAUGGACGACAACUUUACCUUCAUGUGCCGAGUCGACGGAAUGGCGCCUAUCCUGUUAAGCGUGGGCCUUCCCAACAGGAUGUUAUAUGCUGAAGGAGCGUUUACGAUGAGGUACUUGAUUUUCUCCGUCCUCGACCUAGCCUCAUCAGUAAACGUGGUUCUCAGCUCUAUGUACCCCCUGACCUCCACCUGGUCUCCAGUGAACCCAUAUAGGCACCCUCCAUAGGGCCUUAGCUGGUCAAGGGGCAACUCCAGCGUAUACCCCCCCACCGGAGCAAGGUAUGUCCAUGGUUUUUAUUCNNNNNNNNNNNNNNNNNNNNNNNNNNNNNNNNNNNNNNNNNNNNNNNNNNNNNNNNNNNNNNNNNNNNNNNNNNNNNNNNNNNNNNNNNNNNNNNNNNNNGCUCGCGGGAAUGGGCGUGUCAGUGAUCGCCUGAAUAAAAGGCAUGGGAAAAACACGAGGUGGCAACGACGGCACAACCUCUUCAGCGGAAGAACGUCCUUGCUGCUCCUGAAGAGCUUGACGCAACUCCUCAGUCACCUUGCUGAGCUCCUCAUUCCUGGCGCGAGAGGCGACCAGGUCCUCAUGCAUUCUCGCCUGUUCGAUGCGCGAGGCCUCCACAGUUGCCUGCAACGAACGCAUCAUCUCUGCCAUCUGCGCCAUGGUCAUGGCAGCGGCGCCUUCAGCAGCGACGGGCGCAACUGGACUUGAGCGAUUGCUUCUCAUUUUUCUCAUGAAACUCAGCGAAUCACAGAAUGCAGCGGACGACACUUACUUCAGCCACGAUCGACUCAGCGAUCAAUCGGAGAAAACAGCGCGAAACUGCGCGAGAAAACUCAAGAACAACGUAAACCUUCAAAGAAAACCACAACCUCACCAGAAACCCGCGCUUUCCCACAGACAACCAAACGAGCGCAAGAACUCAAACUCUACCGAACGAAUCACGCAUAAACAGCAGAAAACCUCACUUCACCGAACAAAACUCGAAACGAACGGUGGAAAAAUGCGAAUUCACCGAACAAAACUCAGACAAAUAGCGGACGAUGGUUGCACCAGCACACAACCACGCAAAAACUUCGAAAACCUCCAAGAACUCACGCCGUGGAUGGGAGCAAAUUUUACACGGCCCCACGGUGGGCGCCUGAUGAUCCUGCCUGUUGACCGGAACGCUGGAAACUGCCUCGCAAAGGAUCGACGUGUGCACCGCUUCGAACCUCCGUUCCUCUUCGAGAUCUACCUCAAGAACCUGCAAAGAAAUAGAGCGGCGCCGCUGCGGCCGAUUGCACUCCAACGCCCAAGUCAGUGACGGUAUCACCAAAUACUAAGAGAACAAGAACCGUGCAAAUCCUCUCUCACAGUAAGCUCUAUAACUCGCAAGCGUAAAGAGUAUAAUCUGAAUGUGCGUACCUCAUAAAGUUCGUUAAGAACUCUUAUAUACCUGGUAACUUUCUCUCUCCUGGCAGUUACAGACUUGGACACGUGGCUCGCAUCCAACUGUACACGUGCCAUCAUCUGGAGGCUCCUUGACUUGGGUGCUGCUUCUACUCUCAUUUUGGCUAAGUUACUUAUGCAUGGUACUGCCCAGUGCAUAGCUAACUUGGGAGUGCGAUCUCUACUGGAAUUGGCGAGUUAGGGGCCUUCAUACACCUUCCCUGUGGUCUCGCCGGCCGCCUUCAUAAUCUGCUUCUCCUUCAUCUUUGGCGAUGUGCUUGCUCUGGCGAUCUCCAAUAACUAGGUCGCCUGAAUCUACAUCUGGCGACUUCAUCUUUAACCCGGUGAUCGCCGAUUCUAAUAAGCUGGAGAUCGGAACACGCCAACUUAACAACUGGCGACUACGCGAGCCCCCCGACUUCCUUCCCUUCUGCCAACCUGGCGCCUUGUCAACACGCCUAUACUGUAGCUGGAUGCGACGUCAUCACUUCCGACUUCCAGGGCGGUACAUUAUCAAAUCUUAACAAACUCUUAAUUGCAUUUAAAGAUGAUUGGACAAAGCAUUUAAUGACUGGAGCGUAUUCAGUUAAAGCAUUUAAAGCUCAGUCAAAGAAAACAGUUUUUCUGUUAUGGUUUUAAAACAAACAAUCGAUUGUUUUCUCGAAUCAAUCGGUUGUUUUGUUACUUAACAAAAACACCAUUCAAAAAAAGUUUUCAAACUUUCUCAAAACGCCUAAGUGUAAACAAUCGGUUGUUUCAACUUAGUUUGAAAAUCAUUUUGCUUUGAUAAAGUUGAGAUGCUAAUUGCUUUGAGAUUUAAUCCAAGUGUUGAUUACAACAUUGAACUACCCCAGAACAAGGCUAAAACCAGCACAGUAGCAACAAGCAAAGCAGAGGCUUCAUCAUCCUUCAAAGGAUUUGGAUACUUCAAAACAUUGAACACCACUUGGUUCAACAAUCUCCCCCUAUUUGAUGAAGACAAAUCCCUGAUGCUUGUGUUGUUCUUUGAUUAAAUCUGAGGCAAUUCUUGCAAUAGAACUUUGAGCAAUACAUUGAACUUCUGAUAUUUUGUUAGCAUACAGAUAAACAAUUAAAGCUUAAAACAUUCAAUAUCAGAACCAAAUAACAUCACUCAAACUGUUUUUAACAAUAUGAAAAACAAAAACUUAAAACAAAUUGAAAACACAGCAUAUAUCUCCCCCUAUUUGUCUUCACAAAUAGACAAAGAUAAGAGAUAAAAUAAAACAUUGUUCCAAUUACAUCAGAAUAAACCAGCAACAGUAGAAGGAAAGAAAUUUAGAACCAGAAAAGAGAACAGCAAAAAACAAUCGAUUGUUUCGAUGGCCAAUCGGUUGUUUUUCUCUCAGUCUUCUUCAUCAGCAAACUGAAGAUCAAAGAUUUGAUUCUGGACAGCUUCAAUCUGUUCGUCCAGAGUCAUAAACCUUGCAUCCAUGUUGUCAAACCUUGUGUCUAUCCUCUGAAAGUUGCUAACACAUAGGUCAUGAAGGCUCCUUUGAUUUUUAGCAAAGGUAUCUAGCCUAUUCACCAUGAGUCUUUCAAAAAGAGACAUGGUUUGCAUUCUUUCUCCUUGAUGUUCAGCAUCAGCACUAGGUCCUGCAUCUUGAAAAUCUUCAGCUGGAUCUUCAUGUUGAACAUCCAUGUCAGCAGGUUCAUCUUGUUCAAGGUGAGCAACACCACUUGAUGAGGCACCAUGAUCACCAUCCUUACUUAACCAUUUUCCACCUAUUUUUGUGAAGCCCAUCUUGCUGAGUGAUCCAUUGUUCAACUCUUGAGUUGACUUGACCAGCUCAGAAGUUUCAUCUUCAAGAUUAACUUCAAAAUAAUGUAGAAACUUAGAUAUUAAAACAGCAUAGGGAUAGUGGUAAUCGCCUAACCUCAUGGCUUUUUGCAUAUGUUCCUUGAUUAUGUGAAUCCAAUUGAUCUUCACUUUCUUGGUGAUGCAAAAGAUGUAAACCAGAUCUUCUUCAGUCAACAUUGAGUGAUUACUCCCCCUUGGAGUUAGGAUCCAAGUUACAAUGAGAGCAAGCAACCUCUCAUCAAUCUUCAAGCCUCCAACCGAGCAAAUGCUAACUUGAGAUUGUUUGUUCUUCAAGCAACUUUUGUAGAACUGGAUUUUGUUGAAAUCUUCUACCACACCAAGGUUUCCUUUGUUGAUUCUUAAUCCAGAGAACUUAAGCCUAGCUACAACAGCCCAAACCUCAUGGGUUAUCUCCAUCUCCACACCUUUCACAUGAGAGACUAAGUUGUUUCCCUCAAACUUCAAGUUGGUGUAGAAAACCCUCACCAAAUCUGGAUAAAUGUUUCCUUUGAGCUCCAGAAACUUUCUGAGUGAUUGGUCUUUGAGAAGCCUCCUCACAUUGUCAAGCUUUUGACUUUUCAGCCAGUCAAAGCACACAACCUUGGGGUUGUUUAUUUUCUUGACACUUGUUUCAUAUCUAUACUUCUCAAUGAGAUCGGUGUCACCAGAAAACCAGCUUUCAAGCCUUCCUCCAGACCUUACAGCUCUGGUUUUGACUCUUUUAGAGGUGGGAGGGGUUGAUUCCAUGACAACAGAGAUGAAAACUCACUUCACAGAAAUUUGCAAGAGAUGGUGCAAAAGAUGUUGCAAGAUAUGUUGCAAUUGGUUGUUCUUUAUGAAAGAAGUCUGCACCUGAUUUUAUAGUAGAAAGAGAAUCAAUUUGAAUUUAAUUUCAUUCAAUGGGUACCUGAUUUUCAGAGAGAGGACUUGACUCUGUUCUGCACUGAAAAUGUCAGAAAAAGCUGAAAAUCACAUGGUCUUCACAUGUGAUCUUUGACUAGUCAUUAAAGCUCUUGAAAUUCCAAGAUUUUGGAAUAUAUUUCUUUAUGACUGUUGUAAAUCCUUUCUGAACAUGAUCCGCUUUCAACACAGAUCCUUUGACCAAGAUUCUCCCUUUGAAAAAUAUCUGCAACGGCUAGAAAUUCAACAAUCAGUUAAGUCAAUUUCUACACAGUGCUGUCAGACUCAAAACAAUCGGUUGUUUUUCUGCAGCAGUUAAAAACUUGAUUUUGCAAUUUUUAACCAUAAACAGAAACAGCUAAAAGCACAUGACAUUGAUUAAAAGACAAUUAAUCAUAAGAAAGAACUUUGAAAUAGAAAUUGAUAACAAAUAAAAGGAAGGUCUUAUCCUUGUGUUGUUUCUUCAAUGAGCCAAUUGCUUGUUGAUCAAGAAAGCUUCUUUUCACUGUUUUGACCUUUUGCAUAUCAUUGAUUCAGCUUCAAUGACUGCCUUUUUCUUCAACAGCUUGAUCAGAUGGCUCAAUUCUUCCUUUUUCUCUUCAUUUUUCCUGCAUAAUCAAAUACAAGUUGCAAGAUUUGGUCCCCUUACAAAUUUUGGUCCAUUUGGCUUUUCUUUGCUGUUAAAAACAUCACAUCCCUUAGGAAUCCAUUUCUUAAAACCUUUAGGAACAUAAUAUUUUCUAAUUUUGCAGAAUCUAACAGAGUGGCCUUUCUUCAUGCAGUAAAAGCAUGUAACAACCGGUUGUUUCGUCUUAACAAUCAGUUGUUUUUCUGAUUUUUUCAAAAAACUUUUUGAAAACCUAUCUUGCUUGUUUUGUGGAUUGAAGCCUAAACCAGCCUUUCCAAAAACACAGCUUUGAGAUGCUAGGACAUUCUCAAAGUUUGACUUUCCUUUUGAAAGCUUGUCCACAGUUUCAACAAGAUAGUGAAUCUUUUUCUCAAGAUUUUCACAAUUUGGGCAAUUGAGAGUAUCACACUUGCAAGAGGCAUUUUUGAAAUCUUUUUCCAGUUUUUCAAAAUCACUUUUUGCUUUUCUCAGUUCCUCUUCAAGUGAUAUAACUUUCUUUUCAAGCCCAUUGUUAAGAUCUUUCAAUCGGUUGUUUGAAAGAACCAAUCUAUUAGCUUCAUCAUGAGUUUCUUGAAAAGCUUCAAGCAAUUCACUAUAGUUUUGUUCAUUUAAGGAAGCACAUGAACUAACCUCACUUGAACUGCAAGAAUCAUCAUCAUCAUCCUCAGCAACUAAGCAUAUGUUGGCUUUUUCAUCUUCACUUGAUAAAGAGCUUGAUGAUGAUACUUCAUUUUCAUCCCAAGCAAUGUAGGCUCUUUUUGUUUUGUCUUUCUUCUCCUUGUAGCUUGUCUUUUUCUCUUUACUCUUGUUGGGACAAUCAACCUUUAUGUGACCUUGCUCACCACAACCAAAACAAGUAUAGCUAUUUGAAUUAAAUUCAUUGGGUUUCUUGUUUCCAUACCUAUCCUUGUUGUUGUCUUUAUUGCGGUUUCUCUUGAGGAAUUUGCUGAAUUUUCUUGACAGCAAACUUAGAUUUUCCUCAUCACUAUCAUCACUUGAAUCUUGCUUUCCCUUAUGUUUGGAUGCUUUCAAGGCUAUGCUCCUUGUGUGCUUAUCUUCACUCUCUUGAACAUUGAGUCUAUUCAUCUCUAGCUCAUGUUCCCUAAGCUUUCCAAACAAAGAGGCAACACUUAAUGAUGUUAGAUCUUUAGAUUCGGAAAUAGCAGUUACCUUUGGUUGCCAUGCUCUAUCAAGACAUUUUAAGAUCUUGAUGUUCAGCUCCUCUUUAUCAAACGUCUUGUCAAGGCUCAUAAGGUGAUUGAUGAUGUGUGUAAACCUUUUCUGCACUUCAGCUAUGGUUUCACCUUUCAGCAUUCUAAACAUCUCAUACUCUUGGAUGAGAGCAUGCUUUCUAGCUCUUUUCACCUCAUUUGUUCCUUCAUGAGUGACUUCCAAAGCAUCCCACAUUUCUUUUGAUGAUUUGCAUUGUGAGACCCUGAAAAACUCAUCAGAAUUUAAAGCAGAGGUUAUAAUAUUUUUGGCAAUGCAAUCGAAUUUAGCCUUUCUACUUUCUGCUUCAGUCCAUUGAGACCAUGGCUUCUCAAUGACAGAACCAUCUUUUUCAAACGUUGGGAUAAAAGGGCCAUUUUCAAUUGCAUCCCAAAUUCCUUUGUCAAGAGAUUCCACAAAUAUUUUCAUUCUAACUUUCCAAAACUGGUAAUUCAAACCACAAAACAAGGGUGGUCUGUUUAUUGAGGCACCUUCCCCAAAACUGGUAAUUCAAACCACAAAACAAGGGUAGUCUAUCAGCCAUUUUGAAUGAUUUUAGGAUCAACUUGAAUAACUUUCAAGAACCAAGCUCUUGAUGCCAAUUGUUAGAAAAGAUGGCUUUAAACUAGAGGGGGGGGUGAAUGGUUUAAAGGGGUUUUCGCAAACUUUUCAAAGCUAGAAUGAACUUAUUUCAGAAACCAAUUGAUUCAGCAAUUUAGUUAGCCAAAACAGCAAGCAAAACUGUAAUACUAGGAAAAAUAAUCGGUUGUUUCUUCGAAACAAUCGGUUGUUUAUACCAGCAAACAACAAACAAACUAAAUUUAAAGAGUUAAGGAUAGAGAGAUUGUACACAGUUGUUUAUACUGCUUCACUCAGAGCUACAUCCAGUCUUCUCAGAAACCCUGAGGAUAUCCACUAAGCAAUCACCACUUGAUCACUUACACCACAACCAAGAGAAGGAUCUUGAACACCUCAAGAAACACACUCUCCUUGGCCAACACUAAGAUUGCUGAUCUUGAACACCUCAAGAACACACAGCCAAUCUCAACAACACACACAAACAAAUUGUUCAACAGUUUACAAAGAUUACACUUGUUACAGAUGAAUAUCUGAAAUCAAUACAAGUAAAAUCCUUAUACAGCACCUUGAUCAAUCUCUCAACUCUUUAGCAAUCUCAGAAUAUUUUGAAAAACUCUUAUAUGAAAAACUUUGUUUCAAGUUUCUUAAUAUAUUAAAACUGUUUUUCAGAAUAUAUAUAAGAAUAUAGUUUGUUAUCAAAUCUUAACAAACUCUUAAUUGCAUUUAAAGAUGAUUGGUCAAAGCAUUUAAUGACUGGAGCGUAUUCAGUUAAAGCAUUUAAAGCUCAGUCAAAGAAAAAAGUUUUUCUGUUAUGGGUUUAAAACAAACAAUCGAUUGUUUCCUCGAAUCAAUCGGUUGUUUUGUUACUUAACAAAAACACCAUUCAAAAACAGUUUUGAAACUUUCUCAAAACACCUAAGUGUAAACAAUCGGUUGUUUCGACAAAACAAUCGGUUGUUUCAACUUAGUUUGAAAAUCAUUUUGCUUUGAUAAAGUUGAGAUGCUAAUUGCUUUGAGAUUUAAUCUAAGUGUUGAUUACAACAUUGAACUACCCCAGAACAAGGCUAAAACGAACACAGCAGCAACAAGCAAAGCAGAGGCUUCAUCAUCCUUCAAAGGAUUUGAAUUCUUCAAAACAUUGAAUACCACUUGGUUCAACAAUGAUGGGUGCUUGUAUGGCUUCGCGGGAGACCAGAUGGAAGUGCGGGGGCAUUUGGUGGUUAAUGCUGUCUCGGCCUAUAAUAUUCUGUUGGGAAGACCAACUUUGAAUAGGCUGAGGGCAGUAGCAUCAACACGCCAUAUGAAGAUGAAGUUGUCGGACCUGAGCGGGAGGGUGAUAACCUUCAAGUCGGACCAGCAAGAGGCUAAGAAGUGCUAUGAAAACAACCUCAAGACCAAGAAGGGGGUGUUCAUGUUUACUGAGCGCCCACUUGGUAGAGACGAGGACGCCCGCGCAAAAAGGGCGCGAGAGAGGCGACCCGAGCCAGUAGGGGAUAUCGUGGAGAGGCAGAUCGGGGGCAGAACGUUCAAGCUUGGUAAGUCGUUGAACUAAGCUGAGCAAGAUCGAGUUGCUAGGGUGAUAGCAUGACACCCGGAUGCUUUUGUGUGGUCUGCCUCGGACAUGCCAGGCAUAGACCCAUAUUUCCUGUGUCACCGCCUUACCAUGGACCCCAAGGUCAGGCCCGUUCGCCAGAGAAGAAGGAAGUUCAACGAAGAGAGGCAAAAAGUCAUCAAGGAAGAAACAAGGAAGUUGCUGAGUGUCGACCACAUAAGGGAGAUUCAAUACCCUGAGUGGCUGGCAAAUGUGGUCUUGGUGAAGAAGGCCAACGGGAAGUGGAGAAUGUGUGUGGACUUCAUUGACCUCAACAAAGAAUACCUGAAGGACUCGUACCCCUUACCAAGCAUCAACGCCUUGGUGGACAGCGCCUCUGACUGUAAGAUGCCUAGUUUCUUAGAUGUUUUUUUAGGGUACAACCAGAUUAAGAUGCACCCCAGGGACGAGUGCAAGACGACAUUCAUGACUGAAAUGUCUUGUUACUGCUACACGGUGAUGCCCUUUGGGCUAAAGAAUGCGGGCGCCACCUACCAGAGGCUCAUGGAUAGGGUCCUUGAACCCAUGAUAGGACGAAAUGUGCAGGCCUAUGUGGAUGAUAUGGUGGUGAUCUCGCAAAUGAGGGAUCAGCAUGUAACUGACCUAGAAGAGCUAUUUGCGACAAUAGCCAAGUACCGGUUGAAGCUAAUCCCCGAGAAGUGCGUAUUUGAGGUGGAAGCGGGUAAGUUCUUGGGUUUCCUACUCACUGAACGGGGGAUAGAGGCGAACCCGGAGAAGUGCGCAACAAUUCUGGCCAUGAGGAGCCCAACCUCGGUAAAGGAGGUGCAGUAGUUGAGAGGGCGGAUUUGUGUCUGCUGGAGGGGAAAAAGGGCACCCCCACUUCCAGUGUUUAAGGAGGAACAACUGAUUCGUGUGGACUGAAGAGUGCAAGGAGGCAUUCCUUAAGCUAAAGGAGUAUCUAGCUACCCCUCCCGUGUUGUGCAAGCCACAAUUGGGUACGCCGCUCCGAUUGUACUUCACUGUGACGAAACGGGCGAUUAGCUCGAUCCUCGUCCAAGAGCAGGACCAAGUGCAGAAACCAAUAUACUUUAUGAGCAAAGUAUUGCAAGGACCGGAGGUGAGGUACCAAGCCCUAGAGAAAGUGGCCCUGGCCGUGGUGUUCUCGGCUAGGAGGCUUCGUCAUUACUUCCAAAGUUUCAUAGUGGUGGUGAUGACGCACUUGCCUAUGCGAAAGGUGCUACAGAAGUCGGAUGUGGCAGGAAAGAUGGUACGUUGGGCAGUGGAGCUCUCGGAGUUCAAUAUUCAGUAUGAACCUCGAGGCCCCAUCAAAGGCCAGGUGUAUGCGGAUUUUGUGGUAGAGCUCUCCCCAACAAACGCAUAGCAAGGGGAGGAGGCCAACUUCAAAUGGGUACUCUCAGUAGAUGGGUCAUCCAACCAGCAAGGCAGCGGAGCUGGCGUGAUAUUGGAAGGGCCGAACGGGCUGUUGAUUGAGCAGGCUUUAAGGUUCGCUUUCAAGGCCAGCAAAAAUCAGGCGGAGUACGAAGCCCUCAUUGUCGGGAUGCUUUGGCUAAAGAGAUGGGAGCGUAGAGCCUAUUGGCAAAGAGCGAUUCCCUUUUAGUCACAGGUUAGGUGACCGGGGAAUAUCAAGCCAAAGAUCCACUGAUGGCACCAUACUUGGGGUACGUCCAGGUUCUAAAGGGCUCGUUCACAGUAUUUGAGCUAGUGCACGUCCCGAGGGAGCAGAAUGCCUAAGCUGAAUUGCUAGCCAAGCUUGCCAGUUUGGGUAAGGGGGGAAGGUAGAGGAUGGUCAUACAGGAAACCCUCAAGGCACUGCGAACAUUUGUUGCUAAUAAGAUGGUGGGCGUUCAUCAGGUCAGUACUGUUAGAGGAAGGGCGAGGAGUCAUAAGUCGGUGACUCGGGAGAUGCUGAGAACGCCCAGUGUAAGCGCUUACCCGGUUGUGGAGGGGGAACCAAUGCAGAUAUGCAUAGUUGAGGAAGGCGACACAAGGAUGACACCCUACAGGCGCUAUCUAGUCGAUGGGAUACUUCCGUUGGAGUCCGCGGAAGCCAAGAAGAUAAAGAGGAACUCCGCAAAAUACACCCUAGUCGACGGGGAGUUGUUCAGACAUAGGUUCACCCACCUGAUUUUGGUGUGUGUGAGCGGAGACCAGUGUACAUGAAUAAUGACAGAACUCCAUGAGGGGAUUUGUGGUAGCCAUGUGGGAGGGCGGUCUUUGGCGUCAAAGGCCGUCCGCGCAGGUUAUUACUGGCCGACAAUGAGAGAAGUUUGCAUGAGGCACGCCCAGCGGUGCAAACAGUGCCAACAACACGCCGAAUGGCAGAAGGCACCGCUAGAAGAACUAAGGUCGAUUUAUAGCCCGUGGCCGUUUCACACGUGGAGAAUCGACAUUCUGGGGCCCUUUCCUUUGGCGAUAAGGCAAAUGAAGUACCUCAUAGUAGCCAUAGAGUACUUCACGAAGUGGAUAGAGGUUGAGCCAGUAGCACAGAUCACAGCUCACAAGAUCCAACACUUCGUAUGGAAGAAUUUAGUGUGUCGUUUUGACGUGCCGAGGCGUUUAGUUUCUGACAAUGGCACGCAGUUUGCGAGCCAGCAACUGGGCAAGCUGUGCGCAGAGGUUGGGAUAAAGCAGGUGUUCCCAUUGGUUGAGCACCCCCAAACAAAUGGGCAGGUUGAGUUUACCCACAGAGUCCUACUCAAGGGUCUGAAGAGAAGACUCGAAAAGGCUAAAGGAACUUGGGCAAAGGAGGUUCGUAGGAUAGUGUGGGCUUACCACACCACGCCUUAGUCCGCCACCAGAGAGACACCUUUCAGCUUGGUGUACGGGUCUGACGCGAUGAUUCCGGUAGAGAUGCAGGAGAGCUCUCCACAUUUUCAAAGUUUCGUGGCUGAGGAGUAUAAUGAGGAGAGAAAGGUGAACCUGGAUCUGCUAGAUGAGGUCAGGGAGGAGGCGAGGAUCAAAGCUGAAGCAUUAAAGAGAAGGGUGGAGCCCAAGAAUAGCUUGAAGUUGAGACCUCGACAGUUCUAGAUCGUUGACCAAGUGAUGCACAAAGCCCACCCAUAUUAGCUAGAGAACAAGUUGUCCCCCAAGUGGACUGGCCCUUUCAAGGUGACAGAGGUCCUGGGAAACGGGGUGUACAGACUCGAGACUCUGGAGGGAGGCACAAUUCCUCGUACUUGGAAUGCGACCAAUCUCAAGUUUUAUUUCAGUUGAACUCUAGCAUUGUACACAGUUUCAAGGGGACACUUUUUCCCUUUUAAGGGUUUUUUAACGAGGUCACCUAAUAAAAUUACGAUUGAAGUAUACAUAUUCUCGAAUUUUUGUACAAUGCAGUGACAAACCUGUCGUCUUGGUGUUUAGACACCUCGAGAGGGAGUGUCAGCUUCCUUUAUGACACCUCCCCCUCGAGUGUGGGCGCCAAGUAUGAACAACAAGGUUCAGUCAGCAACAAACCUGUCGUCUUGGUGUUUAGACACCUCAAGAGGGAGUGACAGCUUCCUUUAGGACGCCUCCCCCUCGAGUGUAGGCGCCAAGUACUAACAACAAGGUUCAAUCAGCAACGAACCUGUCGUCUUGGUGUUUAGACACCUCGAGAGGGAAUGACAGCUUCCUUUAGGAUGCCUCCCCCUCGAGUGUGGGCGCCAGGUACGAACAACAAGGUUCGACCAAGCUAAGUCCUCCUUUGCCUGUGAGCAAAGAUGAGGCCAGAUGAAAGCCUUGAGAUUAGAAACCUUGAGAGGGAGUGGCAGCUCCCGAGUAGGAUGCCUCCUCUCAAGUGUCGACGCCAGGGCUAAGCGAAGGGAUUCCUAGUUAAGUCCUCUGUUGCCUUAGGGGCAAAAAGGAGGCUAGUUAGUAUACCUCCCCUGACCACAAAGGCAGGGGUGCGGAUUAGUAAAGGAGUUUCCCUUGUCUAAACAAAGUCAAGGCAAGACCAGUUAAAGUUCCAUGCAUGCCCGCCCUCCAUCACAGGUGGCCAAGCGGUCGAAGUGAAGAGAAAGGGGUAGCAAGGGAGCGUGCUACCUAAGGUUCAGUUUUUUCAAAACCAUCGUAUGUUAAAGUUGUUAGCGUUAAAACAUUGUUAACAAGUUAACAGUUAAAGGAAGAAUGGCUAGCAAGCAAACACAACAAAACAGGUAGGGGAAGUACAAAUUGUAUUAAGUUACAAAGUCUAGAGGACAUAGUUUUAAAGGCCAGAAUUACACAAGCUCUUUCUUAGGACGCCUAGGCAUAAUCUGGCCAUCAACAAUGUUGUUCGACGUUGCGAAGGGGGAGACGUCCAUCUUAGGAUGCUUGCAAGCAACCUGAGCAAGAGCAUCCUCAAACCUCGCUGCGUAGGCAUCGGCGACAUCAUCGGUGAGCUCCACCUUGGCUCUCCCAAAGGCUUCAACUUGUGUGGUGAGCUCCGCCUUGGCCUUCUCGCGGGCUUCAGUUUGCGCGGUGAGCUCAGCCUCCACCUUCCCCAAUUUCACCUCCCACUCCGUGGCCCGUUCUUCAAGUUGACCAUCCAAGCUUUGGUGGCCACGACUUCUUCCUCGAGUCCCACCACCUAGGUGCGCAGUGGCACAACCUUGGCCAACAAGGUGGUGUACUCUUGGCUCUUGUCAAAGAGCUUCUUAUUGGUCUCCAGCUCAGCCUGGCGAAGGGCACUUAGUUCUUGAUUCAGCACGGUCUCACGGUGGAAGAAGACCUGAGCCUGUUGGGCUAGUUGCUCCUUCACCAAAGCCAGUUGCUCCUUUGCCUUUGACUCUGCCUCAUGGGAGAAGGCGUCAACUUGGGCAAAGAAUUCACCAAGGUUGAGGGCCAGGCUCCCCCGCGCAUCCUUUUCGUUAGAGCUUCCCAUGACCCCUUUCUGGUAGCCCUUAAGGAUUUGUUGAAGGACCAGGGGAAGGCUCAGGGACGCUCUCACCCCCACCCUCGAACGCAAAGAGGCUCUGGGGGGGAUGAGGCGUUGGGAGGGUGGUCUCUGAGCGAGGUAGGGCGCCCAACAGAGGAAGAAUGGGAAAUGGCCGCUACCGCCACCUUGCGCUUCUUGAAGACAAGGUCUUCCGUGGUGUCUGCCUCAUCAUUAGACACAAUCUCCACCACCCGCUUAAGGGGGGCUGGAGUAGAAGAAGCCCCAACAGCAGCUAGAGGCACGACGUCAAGAGGGGCUGGAGUGGGAGAAGCCCCAGGUGCAGCCAAAGGCACAACGUUGAGAGGGGUUGAAGGGGCGGGAGAAGGUGCAACUAGUGCGAUGUUUGAAGCAAGGGUUAAGGCACCUGCAUCAGUGGCCGCCUCCUCACAAAGGACUAGGACCUCCGCCAGCUUUGCUCGCUUCUCUUCGUUUAGCACCAUGCCUACACCCAAAACAAGGAGAGAAGAGAACUUGGCAAGGCAAGGUUAAGCAAGAAAUCAGCACAGGCAUAAGCAAGAAUAAAGCAUAAUAGAGUUAAGAGAAAGGUCACGAGCAAAUGCCUAUACCGAUGUAGCCAGCGAGUCCUGUUGUGUUGUACUCAUCCUUGAUGAGCUCAGCAGUGUUGAAGAUUGCCCCAAGGCUAGCUAGCUCUUGGCAUACCUCACGAUCAGCAGAGGAUAGCUCAUCGAGGGUCUUGGCCUUCUUUAGGGUCAAUUUCCCCACCCAGUACAAGGGGAAUCCAUUCAGAGAGGUGCGAUCGUGCUCAGAGCAGCACCCCUUGAAGAAUUUCCCCUUGAAACCCUUGUAAGAUUGCUGGAACAGGGUGAGGAUGACUCUUCUUGUCACCCCGCUGAAGCUUACCCAAAGGUUCUUCCCAGGGUUUUUGGCCUCGAAGAAGUGAAGAAAAACAUCUACAGUGGGUGGAUGACCAAAAUGGUUGCAGAGGAUGGAGAAGGCCCUCACAAAGGCCCAGCUAUUGGGAUGCAGCUGGGUAAGGGCAACGUUUACUUCGGUCAACAGCUCCCUUUCGAAGCUGGUAAAGGGAAGACGCUGCCUAAUACACUUAAAGACCGUUGUUUGAAGAAGAAGAAGGGUUAUCCCUCGUUGGCACGGUUGUCUACGCACACGGGUUCGCCCUCCGCGCAGGGGCGAACCGAGAUAUAGGCGUCGCUAUCUCUCCCAAACGCCCUAACCAGGAACUCGGGCUCGCUGUCUAGGUGUGCCCUCCAGUCCGCGAUGGAGGUGAGGGAGGAGGUUUCGGCAAGAAGUUCAGCAGACGCCCAGGGGUACAUGAUCUCUUAGUUGACGCUGGGGGGAGGGUUGGAAGUGAUCUUCGUUCGUGCCAUGACGAAGGAAGCUAAAAAAAUGCAAGGAAAGAAAAAGGUGAGGGGUCAGCAAAGGGGGCUACGGUGAUAAACGGAAGAAAAACCCAGAAAAACCCCACGCUCGCAGAAAGCCCAGAAAAUAGAGGAAUGAAGAAUGAAUGCAGAGGAAAACCUAAACGCGGAAGUUUAAAAAGGCCCAGGCAGUUAUCAAUGCGCGAAAUCAUAAAUAAAGAGCAACCAAUGGAGAAAAAUAGUACCUUUGAUUGUUGAUGAGCGAAAGUCCUGAUUUUUGUGAAGGUAGGAAACCAGAGUGUUCGAAGAGGAAGACAAAGAGUGCAAUGGAAAGUUGCAAGUGAUGGAACAGUGCAUGAAGCGCGCAUUUUUGAAACUCUUAACGUAAGCUGGGAAAACGUAAGCAACGUUGAGUCUCAACCACUUGAUUAAGACAUGUGUGCGCUGAUUAAAGCAAAAACAGGAAAACAUCACUUCGGUGCACUGUACACGUCCCGUCACGUGAAGCCACGUAGGUCAGCAGGGCGAGGCCAUAGUCUCUUCGCUGAACAAGUUAAGAGCUCGAGACUGGGAGGCUUGUGUACUGACCAGUCCUUGGACUUGGGUGUUGACCAAAGUCAUGAUGGAGCCCCGAAGGCUGGGUCCACUAGGAGCCUGGCAGGACAGGACAGAGUCUCAGUAAGCUCACGGAUAAGGGCAGUCGAGGAGGAGGCGACAUCAAGGUAGGGCGUGGAGGCCUCGGGCCUCGGUAACCCAACAGUAAAGAUGGACAGAGGAAGGUGGUUUCCAAGCCACACUCCAGUUAUCAGUAAAGGGAGAGGCCUAAAUCACCAAGCGCCCAUGCAUGGGGUGUGGACGACACAAUGGGGUGUGCCACAAUCAAAGAGCCACUGGGAAAGAGACGACUCAUAAGGGUCACGUCCCAGGGGUGAUCUACAUGCAUGGCACGUGAAUAAGGCAAGGAACUCCCAAAGUGGCUGACCCAGAGAUUGGGGGCAUGAGUUGGCACCCAAGUGGUCAUUCCACGCCAGUUGCACUUCGAUAGGGGAGUCUUACGCACUAGAUAGCCCUCAGAGCGGGCGUUAGUGACGCUAAGGCGCACCUACAGUAAUCCUAAGUUACAGUUAGAAAAGGGAGGAAACACUAAAGAAUAUAUAAAGGGUAACAACCAACAGAAUAAGGUACGCAUUUUUUCUAAGUGUAAGUAACACAUAGACAGUUACACAGAGCUCUGGGAGUUGAGAAUUUUUGGUGUUUCUUUGCCCGGUGUUUGACUUGAGCGUCGGAGUGCAAACGGCCGCGAGGGCGCCUGUUGUCUCUUUGUUUUCAGGUGAUCCAAGAGGGGGGAAAGCACCGUGAGAAGGGGUGGGAGUUAUGGACGCGAAGGUUAUUGCGAGUUCACGAAGACGUUGGGCUAACUGGCGGGAACAAAAUUUAAAUAUGAAAACAACUUAAUUCACUAAACAACAAAUUAAAUUAGAAACUUAUGAUGCUUCCAAAUUCAAAUAUAGCAAAAUAUAGAUACAUUCAACUUUCAGGGUCAAAUCAAAACAAUAAAAUGACAAUUCAUCAAGGAAUUUCUUCUCAUAUUCUCACGGGUAAGUUUUUCUCUCUAUUUUCGCUGAAUCAUAACAAAUCAUAGUUUAUUUUCAUUUCAUCUUCAUAUUACAAACAUAUUAGAAACAUGAAUCUUGAGGUUUUUUCCAAGGUUAUAAUGAGGUUGGACUUCCAAAUAUUGGUUUUUCAAAUAAUAAAAUGCACAUCUUAAAGAAGAAGAAUAUACUUAUAAUCCAAUUAUAGCACAUGUGUUAUCUAAUCACCAUUUUCUUUUGACUUCACGGUUUUCCUCAUUUUCUUUUUACUUAUUCUUGAUUGAAUUUUCUUUCUCUUUUUUUUCAUCAAUAGGAAUAAUUUUUUCCUUUUUCAACUAUUUUGAACUUUCAGUGAUUAGAACUAACCAUUCCAUUUUCUAUAUAUAUUGAAUAUAUGUUGUCCCUCUUAAGGAUAGGAAAAUAUAUCAUUAAAGGUUUAGGGUGCAAUAGUAAAAAAAAUUCUUGGCUAAAAGGGAAUAUAGAAAAAAUUGAAUUCUAAUAAGAUAAAGGUUGGCUAUUUGGCACUGGGUUCCUAAUUCACACAAAUGCCGCAAUCAUCUUCAUGCUCUUUUUUUAUGUAAGAAAAUAUAAAAAUUAAGCAACCAAAAAUAUCAAUUCAUCAGUAAAAAUCUCAAAAUUGUUUAAGGUCCACAGACUCACUUAGUUUAAUUGGUCUCAUUCCUUAUUGUUUUGUCAUUCUGUGUUCUAAUAAAUCAUCCAGUUAAAUUUUCAUGUAUCACAAUUUCAACUACAUUUGAAUAGGGAUUCAAUCAUACCUUAUUUUCUAACAUGUGUCUAAUAUAUCUCACUAUUUAAUAUUUAAACACGACGUCCUUUUUUCAACAAUUCAAACUUAAUAUUGCAGUUUUUUUUUAUUUGAGAAAAAUAAACUCGAAAACUACUCAACAAUUAAAUUAAAACUGAAUUUGAUUCAAGAAAAAUAAUUCAAAACAUAAAAAUAACAAAAUAAGAAAAGAAAAUUAUUCAAGAAUACUAAUACAAUCCAUUUAAAGCAAUAAGAAAAUAAACUAACAAAAUGAGCAAAUAAGCAAAUAAAAGAAACAAACAAAUAAAGCAUAAUUUUAAAAAAAAUUGAAAAGAAAAUAAAACUAGAAAAAUAAAAACAUAUUUUUUCUCAAUUCUCCCUUCAAAAGAAGUCAUCCAACUCUAUGUUAAAGUCUUCAUCUACAGGUGCAAAUGGCCUUGCUUCGUUUGUUGAAUCUGCCCCUUGAAUAAUAGAACCUGUCCCCAGGCCAAUAUACACAAGCUUCAAAUUGAUUUGGAGGCAUAUAGGGGUUGAGUUGCCUUGAAUUUCUCACUUAUGGACCGUUAAACUUGCUCAAGCAACUAUAUGUCUUGCUCAAGCGAGGUUGUAUAAGUGGAAUCUCGCCUAAGCAAGAUUUAUCUUGCUUGGGAGAGAUUUCUCCAAAGAAUCUUUUUUUAACUUGCCCAAGCGAGAUUUACUACGCCUGGGCAAGAUUCCCUGCAAGAAAUCUCCAAUUUACGUCGUCAAACUCGCCUAAGCGAAAUGUAUCUCGCUUGGGCGAGAUGACUCUAGAGAGCACCCCUUGUUUGUCCUUCUAACUCCAGAUGACAUUCAAUUCCUAAACUUGAUGAUAUGCUUGUUGAAUUGCAUGGGUCCAUAAUAUUUUCUUAAAUUGAUCUCAAAAGUGGAUAUCACCAAAUAAUAAUCAAGGAGGGUGAUGAGUGGAAAACUGCUUUUAAGACCAAAUUUGGAUUAUAUGAGUGGUUAGUGAUGCCUUUUGGACUUACUAAUGCACCUAGAACUUUCAUGAGGCUUAUGAAUUAUGUUCUUAAGGAUUGCAUAGGUAAAUAUGUAGUAGUUUAUUUUGAUGAUAUAUUAGUAUGCAGUUAAAGCCUAGAGUCCCACCUAGGUCACCUUAGGGAGGUUCUUUUAGUGCUUAGGAGAAAUAGUUUGUUUGCUAAUAUAGAUAAGUGCACUUUUUGUGUAGAUAAUGUAGUGUUUUUAGGUUUUAUAGUAAACAAAAUUGGGGUACAUGUUGACCCCGAGAAAAUAAAAGCCAUCCAAGAGUGGUCAACCCCAUGUUGAUUUUUCUCGACAAGUAUACCGAAUCAACUGUAAUAUAGUACUCUUUAAAGUAUGAAUGUCGAACCCACAAGGAACAAAUCUCAUUAAUAAGUUCUACUAUAAAACUCAUCAAGUGUAGAAAAUAAUUGUGAAAACUUGUUCAUAACCAAAUUAAAGAUUUCACAAGAAGUACUCAAAGAUUUAAGAUUUGAUUCAAGACGUAACAAAACUAACUUAUCAAAUAUAGAUAAAGAUACUUGAGAUUGAAUUGUGUCUAUCUCAAUCAUUUGUAUUUUGGAAUAAUACAAUAUAUAACACUCAAAACUACUUAUUCUUGAUGCUUAAUUUAAAGUCAUUCACCUUGAUUCCUCACAGAUGAAAUUCAAAAGAUAAUUUCUCUAAUGCUGAUUCCUAGAUAUCUAACAAAUCAUCCAACUUUAUGAAAAGAAUUAUGAUGCAAUUAAUAACUUGAAAUCUAUUCCUAGCAUUACAAGUUAUCAAGUAUUUUUGUCUAUUUCAGAUCCUUAAAGGUACUUUCCAGUUAAAUUUAAGGAUCAAAAUGAAGACUCCAUUGAUAAGAUAGAAUCAAACAAUAAGCAUGAAACGAAAAUACCAAGAACAAGUAGAAAAGAGAAUAUUAUAUAUAUAUAUAUAUAUAUAUAUAUAUAUAUAAAUCACCAAGAAUACAUUUGAUCAAAGUAGAUUACAUUCAAUCCCAAGUUAGAAAGCACUUAGCCACUCAUGACAGCUCCUCCAAUCUUCAUUCUUGAUCUGGAUUGCAUAAGAAGGGUUGAUCUGAGCAAGUUCUUCUCCUAAGAACAAAGGUUUUCUUCUCUUUCUCUCAUUAACUUCUCUCUAAAACUCACUUUUUUUCCCACUGCCUCUUUUUUCACUUUGUUCCAAAAUUUGUAUAUUGAAGUUUAGCUCAAGCAAUCUAAUUUAGCUUAAGCUAGAGUUUUAGGUGCAUUUUUAGCUUGAGCUAGCAAUUCUAGCCUGAGCUAGAUUAAUACUGCACCUUUAAUCAAAUAUGGACAGCUUUAGCUUGAGCUAAAUCCUCUAGUUUGAGCUAAAUCUUCUAGUUUGAGCUAAAUCUUCUAGCUUGGGCUAAAUCUUCUAGCUUGAGCUAAAUCUUCUUGUGAUCUAAUUAAGUUUUAAUUUUCUUUCUUUCAAUGCUUCAUAUUCAUCUGCAAUUUACACAAAAAUUGAGAUUAAAUUUCUUCAUUUUUGUUUCUUGGUUCAAAAUAUAUAAUCAGAUUCAAUAAUUCUCAGAUUAGGGUAAUUUUCUUACAUUAAGCAACAAUUAAGUUCCAAAGUGUUCAAUUUUCUCAAUCAUAAAAACUACACAUUGACAUUUAUCAAUUUCCCCCCAACCUAGAAUUUUACUUGUCCUCAAGCAAAGUAAUUGAAUCCCAAAAAAUAUGAGUUCAUUCUUCCCCAAAAUCCUUAGAAAUCAAAUCUAUAGUUCAAUAUCAUAACAACUUCAUGGAAAGAGCACAAGAUAAUUGAUCCUGCCGGCAACUCGAACGUGGAGGAAUCGCUUCGUAGCACUCUUUGUCCCGUCUACGCGACUGCGUUUUCUACAGGAUCACCCUCAGAACCUUCUCUUGGACCUCCAAACGUGACCUGCAAACACACAGACGGCGCCUCUAGCGGCCGUUUGCACUCCGACGAUCAAGUUAGUCCACAGAACCACCAAAGACUAGAAAACUAGUAGUGUGUGUGAAAAACUCUUGCUCUCUGUUUUUCGUGUCUCCCACUCUCACCCUGAUUCUCUCUUUUAUCUCUCUUUCCCUGCUUCUGGGCAUAACAGAAUUCUGUUAUGCUUUUCUGGCAUGUGUCAGAACCCUGUUAUGCUUUUCAGAGAAAGUGUACCUUCAGAAUCAGUAGUGGGAGCGUGAGAGUCUGUGCAUGUCUGCGCUUGGCUGCGCCUGUCUGUACCUUUAGUGGUACGGAGUGCUCUUUUGUCUGGACCGCACCCCUUUCAGAGGAUGACACGUGGAGGCCUGCAACUCACAUCUAACCACACACGUGUCAGUUCUUGGAAGGGCUCUAGCGCUUCUCUUUGUGUGCCUAAGUUACGCCCUUGCGGAGUAACGAAGGAUAUUUCUCUCAACUGUGAAGUGUGUACUCUCAGGAGAACGUCAGGUGUGGCUGGUCUAGGCACACUCACCAAUCGUUGCUCUCUGCGUAUACAACUUACCCUUCACAGUGUCACGCACGUAAUGGGUUGAGGGAAUCACCAGUCACUGACUGGUUUACUAGUUCCCUCAGGCCACUCUCGUGCAUGAUUCCUUGGGAUGUGCUCAUGCGAGGUCCAUGCGUAACGCUCUCGCUGGGAACCUCAGUCCCAGUUUAACUGCGUGUAACACGAGACCCCGAUGACUAUGCACCGAAGACUGAUCAGUGCUCUAUCUCUCGCGUUCUGCUCCCAGGCGUUAGUCUGAGAACUGACCUGCUAGUGGUCUCUUGGGUACUGACCACCGAUCACCGUUCUGGAUGAUCUGUCCCCUGACCUCUAUGUCGCCUGAUCUGUCGGUGGUCGCUUGGUUACGGACCCCCCGAUCACCACUCUCGGCGAUCGCCUCCCUUGCCUCUCUGUCACCUGGUCCACGUGUCACCCUGUGAGUGGCCCACGUGGUUCUCUACUGCUGACGUCAUCUGCAACCGAUGACCGAUCAGAUCACAAGCCCCCCAGUCUCGAGUCGUGAACUAGUUCUCGGCGAAGAGACUAAGUGGUCGUGCCUUUGGUCCACGUGGCAAGUGGGACCGCAUCACGUGCCACCUCACGUGCUACUUCUUAACGUUUGGACUUCCUUCCUUAAUCUCGCGACACGUGGCCCCAUCGACGGCCAGCGUGGUGUGUCGCUAGCGCUUCUCCUAUUCAAAUUGGCGCGCCCUUUCACUGUUCCUUCAUCUUCUUCAUUCAACUCCCAGACUCUCUGCGAACUUCUCCUCUGCGCACCCAUCUUUCUUCAAAUUCUCUGCUUCCCAAUCUCUUGCGAUCAUCCAAAGGUAUGGUUUUUCUUCUCCUUGGCCCCUUUUUGGUCAUCUUUACCGAUUGCAUUUAUCAUUCUGGCUAUCAUGCAUUCAUCUUCUCUAUUUCCCUCUCUCGAACCUGCGCUAGGGUUUUUUCACGUUCUCGCUUUGACUUCUGCUUUUUCUUCUUCCUCUCUUCACCUGGGCAUCUCUUUCUCCUUUCCCCCCUCUGUUUUCACCGAAACAUUCAUCAUUCCCUCUUCUUCCAUUCAUUCUGACUUUUUCGUUUUUCCUCCAUUUGCAGCUAUCUCAUGAUGGCUCGCUUGAAACAAACUGCGCGCAUCAUUGCCCCAUCCUCUGGUGCACAGCCUUCCGCGAGUGCGCCAGCUCCACCACCGCCUGUGGCUACCUCCUACCACGACAAUGCCAGAGUCUACGAAUGGGCUCCCCUGGCACUGCUCGCUGAAACCUCCACCCUGCUGCCCAAGGGUCAUCUCACAUCCCUGCUAAGUCGCAACCCCGAUGAGCCUUCCUGCUCCAUCGACAGGGAGAAUGACUUCAACAUCCAAAUCCGCAUUCCUCCUCGAGGAAUGCCUAUCUGCGCGGAUGACAGGGCCACCAAUGGGGUGCCCUUUGUCUUCGUCUACUCCGCUAUUUUCAAGAGGUUGAAGCUGCGCCUCCCUUUCACUUUCUUCGAAAAGGAGCUGAUGAUGGAGUUAAACGUCGCGCCUUGCCAACUCCAUCCAAAUGCCUGGGCCUUCAUCCGGGCAUUUCAGAUCCUCUGCAGCUAUUUCGGGCACAACGCCUCCGUGGACGUGUUCCUCUACUUCUUCGAAGCGAAGAACCCUGGGGACAGGUCCUGGGUCAGCCUGAACGGGGUUGCUGGACGGGUGCUCCUGGGCCUGUACCAGCAAUCCUUCAAAGAUUGGAAGGGCAGAUUCUACAUGAUAUCUGCUACCCCUCAAAGUCCAAAUCUGCUCGAGGGGUACCCCCUCUACUGGGUUCCUGGAGUUGAAUUCAAGAAAUCCAGGGACCUCGAAGCUGUGGCCCCCUAUGAGCGCGAGCUGUGCGGGCUGCUCCUGGGGGCCAAGUACAGUUCUGCUCGUCUCAUCAAAGACGAGUUCGACGUGGUGGCCUUAAAAAAGUAUAUAGGUAGCUCUCCUUU
Molecule: long non-coding RNA, 66665 nt
Filed under: Phaseolus vulgaris (common bean)
Lineage: Eukaryota; Viridiplantae; Streptophyta; Magnoliopsida; Fabales; Fabaceae
Description: long non-coding RNA (PVUL_LNC005094)
Source: RNAcentral